Molecule: long non-coding RNA, 67718 nt
Filed under: Capsella rubella
Lineage: Eukaryota; Viridiplantae; Streptophyta; Magnoliopsida; Brassicales; Brassicaceae
Description: long non-coding RNA (CRUB_LNC001927)
Source: RNAcentral
AAUUAAUCGGUUUGCUUGUACGAGUCAGGUUACUUAAUUCCAUAACUCUAAUAGCUGAGUCAAAUUCUAUAUAGUUGUAAACCUAUUGUUCAUGCUUUUUUUAUUUUUACUGUGUGAUCAUAGUUUCGCUAAAAAGAGCGUGGAAGUAAGUGAUGCUAUAAUCCAUUAACUCGUUGAAUAAUGCUACUAUCCACCAAAAGAAAUAUAAAAAGGCAAUGUAAACACGUAACAGCCAGAGAAAGAAAAUCACGUUAACAACUAGCAACGUAAACAUAUCAUCUUGUAUAUAUAAUAAUAUUAGUUAUUUUUGUUUCACUCUAUUGAAAUCAUGGAUAUAAAAUUAACAGCUAUACUAUAAAAUUUGAUCAAUGUUUGUUCCAUGUCCCACAUGACUAGCUCUCGUAAAAAGAAGUCGUAAGGGGUAAUAAAUCCAAAAACUUUCAUAUGUUCAUCAAAACGGAUCAGUGACAUCAUUAUUGCAUUUGUUUUGGUAACAAUAGCCUUUCUAUUUAACCCAAGAAAAAGACAGUAGUCUUUAUCUUGGACAAAGCUUGUCGUUGCAUAUUUUAUGAUAAACAAAUGGCAUGUUGAAAAUCUAGAAAUACUUUUAGAGUUUGAAAACUAUUAGAUACAUUUAGUAAAGCCAGAGCAUAAAUCGAUAUGUAACCUCGAGUAUCAUAACGAUGACUAAGACAGUUUAAUUUCAUGGAUAUUCCACUUUAGACCAAAGUAGUUUAUGGAUCAUCACAUUUCUUUCUCAUCAUGAUUAUAAUUAUCCUAAAACCAAGGUGUGGGAAGUUCAAAAGAUAUGCAUUUGACAGGACUAGACAUGUCACAUUCUUCCUUCUCCCCAUACUAUGAUCAUUCGUCAUUCAUGUCUUAUAGACUCAAAAUAUAUUAUUAAGUCUACAUUUAUUUUAGGGAUGAAUAAUAUCUAGUGUCAACUAGUUCCUUUUAAAAAUUUUAGCCUGUCCAGUGACACACUCUUACAUUUUCUCUGUAGAAAAAUAACAUUCUCAUUUAGCUUUAACAGAAUUACCCUUGAAUUAAAAUAUGUUCUUUUUAAUACUAUAAACAUUGCACGUUAGAAAUUGAUAUUGGGUGCUGUCGACAGAGUAAUAACUAUCGGAUAUUUUCUGCAAUGUGAAAAUGUUCACACAAUUCGAAACCUUUAACAGACUUUAAAAAACUUUCAACACUUUUUAAAGUUUCUUGUUUACUGGAGUAUAAAUUUCCAAUAAUCAAUAUUAGUAUGUUCCACUAGUAUAUAUUAUACAAAAACAUUAGUAAGUUUUCUGCUUUUUCAUUAUUUUUAGGAACUCUCUAUAGAGUUUCUCAUAAGUUUCUCAUGUGAAACAUUGUUGUUCGUCUCGACAUUCGUUGAUAGUUUUCCUUAUAUAAAAAAAAAGAAUUGCAAAAUCUAAUGUCUACUUAAUUCCGAAAUCAUUUUAGUUGACGAAAAAAAAAACAUAAAUCAUAAACCAAUAAAUCUAAAGUCCUAUUUAGCUUCUUAAACUCACGGAAAGAGUUUAGCCGCCACAGCGGUGAUCGAUGGUAGAAGCUUUUACGACACAAGUUCGGCUAUUUCUCGAAUAAAUAAGAGAAGGUAAUAAGAGACAUAAAAUGAUAGAGAAGGAACUCCCUCAGGGAUUCACGUUAUAAGACGAAAUUAGUGACCCAUUAUAUUCAUUUUAAUAUUAAACUAUAUAAGUUCUUGAUCUGUACAUUAUUUUUCGAUUGAUGAUCAUAAUGAAAAUUUGAUAAAUUAGUCUUUGAUCUAACAUAUCGUAGAAUCAGAACCCAAAAAAAAAAAUUAAAAAGAGAAGCCUUUUCUCUUUCUAAUUGAAUAAAACGAGUUGUAUGAUGCUAUCGUGUGGCCUAUAUUGUCCAACAAUUAAGUGGGAAAUUUUGGUCAUUAAUAUACUAAUAGAUGAAAUAAAGUAUAUAUUGCAUAUUUGCAUGGAUGUAUAUGUAUACAUAAGUGGCUGUGUAAUGUUUGCGUCAGCUUGGACAAGUUGCGCUCUCGCUUCUUUUUUUUUUUUUUACCCUAACUCACUGUCGACGUUCCAUUUAUGUCGACAAAACAAGUAUCAAUAGAUAGUGAUCAGACUCAAAAUUUUCAACUAAUGAUUAAAGCGAAUGUCAUAUAUCUUCUCGUCAAAGAAAAAAACAAAAACAAAAACACGCAACAGUAUUGAACUUUUGAUGAUUUGCAUAAUUACAAUAUCGUAAAGUUAGUGGACUUUUAUUUAUCGCUUGUUCAUUCAUUCACUUGAUAAGACUUGCUCAAAUAUUUCACUUUUUUCCCCCUUAUUUUCCGACAAACAAAAACCGAUAUUUAUAUAUAUAAAACACGAGUAGAGAGUUUUUGUACACGUAUCAUUAUGGUGCUCACACACGCACCCGAACCCAAAGAAAAAACCCUUUCUUAGCUAACACCACAAAACUCAAAGGAAAAAAAAGAAAAGGGUUUUAAAAAAGAGAUUAAACAUAACAUUAUAUAAUUAUAGUGAUGACAUAGAAAUAAAACUGUUAAAGAUCCCAUGACAAGCCAUGGCCAAAGUUAGGGAUGACUCCGUAACCGUAGUUAUCAUCUGACGACUGUCCCCACGGCGGCGGAUAUAAACAGUAGUCUACUGAGUCAGAGAACACGAACUCGUUCCCAAGCGUAGCCGAGUCAACGUCGUAACUCGCUCCAAGACUUGGCAGCUCCACGAUCUCACCUAGCUCCUCUGACUCGGUCCUCACCAAAACAAGAGACUCAAGCGAAGACGUGGAAGACAGAGAAGAGGACGACGACGUGGAAGAUGAAAACGAAGUCGUCGUUGGCUCCAUGUGAGCUGCUUUGAGAGCUGCUGUCUGAAUGUCUCGAGGGCUAAGCGAGACUGGUCGAGGGAAUGAGUCAGCGAGUUCAGGGAAGUUUAGUAUAGCUGAUGUUCCUUUUAUGCUCAGAGCAGCUACGUCGUGUGCACGCGCCGCCAUCUCCGGAGUCGGGAAAGUUCCUAGCCAGAUACGUGACUUCUUCCUCGGCUCACGAAUCUCCGACACCCAUUUCCCCCAGUUCCUCAUCCUCACGCCGCGGUAAACCGGGUGCUUACCGGAGUCUCUGGCACGUUUCGUCUUCUUCUCGUUUUUGUCACUCGCUGAGUCAGACUCCGAGUUAGGGACAAGAAGCUGAGGUACUCUCUCCGAGCGGAGGCUGUAGUAUUCCUCUGCCAUUGUGUCUAGCUUAUGCACAAAAGUAUCGUACAGGUCUAUAAUAUUCUGAUUGCUCUUUUAUUGGAUUCGGAUCCCGAGAUUAUUGCAAAUGGAGAAAAUAAGCUUCAGGGGAAAAACAAAACACAAGUUUGAGAACUAUUCAAAAUGAGGAAAGAAAAAACAGAGCAGUGCAAGUGAUGAAGAAAUGAGAGAGAAACUUUUGUAAUGUUGGUGAAAUUUUCUUGCUCUAUCGUUUCUCAGUCACUCAAAAUAUUUAUAUAUGCAUUAAAAAUAUAUAUAUUUGGGGUUAUGGGUUACAAUUUAGAAGAGAAUGGGACCAGAAACAAUGCAAUAAGUCUAUUGAAUAAAGGAAAAUGGACCCAAUGCUCUCUCUAUUUAUAUAUUUUGUUUUUCUUUCUUAUAUAUAUAUAUAUAUAUCAUACCCCCCACCCUAUUUUCUUUAUUACUAUACAUGGCUAUUAGUAUAAAACGACACACUUGGGGUGGUCACUGUUUGCUUUAAUGGUUCUUAAAAAUCAUAUUAUGCAACUAAAUUAGGAAAGCAAAUCAUAUACUUUUUAUAUAUAUAUGAUUACGAGACGACCAUAUUUAGAAGGGCUAUGUUGAAAAACGACUUUGUUCCCCGCCGGGUACGUAAUAUUUAUAUGAAAUUGUCUCCGAUCAUGAACAUGUUGAGACUGAGACUGAGACAAGCCUUUUCUGUUUUUUUGUGUGUGGUAAAUAACUUUUCACCUCAGUUUUACUGUUUAAUUAUCCUUUACCCUUAUUAUUCGACUCAUUGUAUCAUCAUCAUACAUCUGCAUUUAUAACAUUUUUAUACAUACCUGCUCAUGAGAACCCAAUCGAUGUAUGCAUGCACAUAUAUAUAUAUAUAUAUAUAUAUAUAUAUAUAUAUAUAACUUUUAUCUUGAUUAGAACUAAACGCAUAGUUUCUUGUCUUUCAGAUUCGAGUAGGUAUUAUCCAUAGAAAGGGUUUUUUUAAUCAUAGUAACAUACUAAUAAUUAAGACAUCUGUCCUGGUCUCAUCUACAAAACAAUCUAUCAGCCCAUUGUUAUUGAUUAGGUUAAAGUUAGUUCUAAAGAGAGAAACAAAAAAACAAAAUAGACAGAGAAGUACAUGUUCGUGUAAUAAUAAUACAAAUAAAGAAAAGAAGUAUGCAAAGGAAACUUCAAGAAAUGUCAAGGGACAUUAACUUGUUCAAUCAUGGGACCGUAUUAGUGUACCUAUAAGGACGAGUUUCUGUCAAACACACAUAAUAUAUUAAUUCUAAAGUCUUCUAUUAAUCAUGCCAAACUGAAAAAUAAAAAUAAAAGAUCUUCUAACUAAUCAUCAUUUUGCUUUUUAAAUUCACAAAUAUAAUUGCAAUAACUGAAGUAUUUCCAACGAACGACGCUGUUUCUUCCUUCGCCUCUCGUUUCAGCAAUACGUAUAUGCAUUUUAUAUUUUGAUCAUAUGCAUAUUUCUAAUUUAUCGAUAAAUAUAUGCUAAUUUAGUAAAAUGACCGAAACUGAUCACUACAAACCCAUUAAAUUAAUGGUAUCAUGCAUGAGGUUCGUUUAUAUUAUAACUAAUCAAUACUGUGAUGAAUAAAAUGAUUCAUGUAUACUAUAUCACAUGGUAGAACCUAACCUACCUAUUUCAUUAACUUUUUUUUUUUUGUCGACAUUUCAGUAACUACAUACAAAGGAUUUUAAUUAUAUUUAGCAAUGUGAUACGUGGCUAAUUAAUUUUAAUUAUGAUAAGAUCGUUCAAGCUUCUUUUUACUCAUUUCAGAAAAUUGUCUUUUAGUUAUGAAUGGAGACCAUCUCAAUAAACGAAGCGGACCCUCUUAUAAAUAGAUGGGGAGAAAACGAUUUUAUAUUUAUGUUUAUUUUCUUUUUGGUCAAUUUUAUUUGUAUUUAUUUAGGCAGACAAAACCAAAUAUCGAUAUCUACCGACUAUGGUUUUAUUAGGUAUACAGAGACCAUAAAGUCGAAAUUUUCGAAACAGGUACAAAAUAAGCCUUUUGGAAAGAGAACUUUUCUUCUUCUUCAUAUUCUUGCUUUGCGUUCUCGUCAUUUGGUAAGAUUUAAAGAUCUAUAUUAGGGUCAAAGAUCGCUAGCCGAAAAAGAAACAAUUAUAAGGGUCAGCGUUCAAUUAUGAAUGCAAUGGAAAAACUUCAGAUACUUCUGAUAUAGGUCCUGUGAACUCAUUUUAAAGUUUUUACGAUUUUAUAAUAAUUUAAUAUUGUAUAUGUUUGUGAUGGAAAUUUAUUUAUUUUUCUAUAUAGGAAAUUAAGCCACAUGUGUUUUAAACUAACCUCUUCAGGAGGAUGAAAAUCAAAGUUUAUUUUUAUCUUCCGCACAUCAAUAUUUUUUACUGUUUUUUAGAAAGCUCGACAUGUCUAAGUUUCUUACAAUAUAUAAAUUCACUCUUUUCUAACACUUAACCUAGCUUCGGUUCGCGCGGACCACCAUAACUGCGAGACCACAACGGUAUAUGUAGUAAUUAUGCUUGAGGUGGGUUUGCGGAGGGACGUUUCAUUGUGUUGUUUUCAGAAUAAAGCACAUUUAGAGAACAAAUGUAUGCUCUCUCACCAUAUGUUCUUCUCUGACGUAUGAGCAUAUAAUUAAUUUUGUAGUUGAUGAUAUCAUGGUGGGUAUAUAGUAUAUAUGUAUACCACAUAUAUACAUCACUAUCUUGUGUAUGUUCAUUUGAUAGACAAAAAAUUGACAGAUAGAGAAAAAUGAGACACGUCGAGAUGUAGGACAUUUACUCUUUUACAUGUUUUUGCUUUGGAGAGUGGUCAACGAAACACGCAAAUGGUUGUCGUUUGGACCCAUUAUUCACAUCUUGAAUCGCUAAACAUAUUUUAAUAUCUAUAUCGGAUCGAUGAAACAUGUAAAACGAUAUUAAUCUGCAUUAAGACAUUUAUCUGAAGACUAGAUAAAACGUACGGUAUCAGUUAAUUUAGUCAAAACUUCAUUUGUUGUAUCAAUAAUGCUCGCCGUCGAAAUGAAAUGAAAAAAAAAGGAUGAUAUUUUGGAUUCGAAUUUGAUAAUAUAUACGUGUGAGUUUACAUACAUAUAGCAGAAUUAAAAAAUAGAUAUUUCUGUCUUAGAUUGGGACUGAGAAAAUUUGUUAAGAUUCAUAGAACUCGUUGUCAUGAAGAUUUCAUUAGGAUCAUGGGAUAAGUAAAUUGUACAAAUGUGUUGGAAAAAAUCUAAAACACCGACACGUAGGACUGUAUGAUGGAGAUCUGGAACAGCAACAUUAGCUAGCCGUAAGCACGAUUGUUAUACGACCAAGUGUCAACCGAGCUUCGCGUUUUAGCAAAAAGAAAAAGUAAAAAAAAAAAAAGAACACUCUUCUACGACUACAAUUAUUUAUUUACACACGACUCACUAGAAAGGAGAAAGAUAAAAGAAAACAGAAUUAUAUUUACCUAGAAUAUAUAGACAUUCACAUAUCAGUAUUAUUAUAUAAAAGUCGUAUUGGGAUUGACGACAAUGUAUGCGUAAUAGUUUGAUUGCUACUAUUUAGUUUAAGAUUGUUGAUAGAUCAGUGUGACCAGUCUAGGGAAUCCAUUUUUAUUUAUUUUUCUGUUAUAAGAUCAUUUAAUAGGAUUAGACCUUUCGAUGUAUUAGAUCAUUCUUCUUCACUUACCCUUUACUAAUGUAUAUAUAAUUAUGAAAAGUUAAAAAUGAUGAAAAGUUAGAAAACAAUUUAAAGAUUUGUGUAAGAGACAGACAAAACAUACAAAGAAAACAUGAUUCUGACUAGAAAAGUACAUCAAACAUCAACAGUCAAAAUUCACCAUCACCAUUUAUUAUUUGCCCACUUCUUCUUAUAGUUUUCUUUUAUUUAUUUACUCCAAAAAAUUUGGCAAAGAAAAAACAUACUAUCAUUAUUGAAAGAAGAUAGAUAUUGAAAGAAGGUGUAUUUUGACUAUUGAUUGAGAGUGCCUGACUAUUUGACAGCUUCAGUCCUGCUGCUUGUUUGUCACAUGCAAUUGCUUGGUUCAUCAUAUAGCUAUAGCCCACACAGUGUCUUUGAUCAGUAUUGUUCCAAACGGCUAUUUUUAGAGGCACACAAUACAACAAAUCUUCUGAUUUUGUUUUGCUAGAUUAUAUUUCCGGCCGGCCGUGUCAUCAGAAAAAAUGAACUAGCACGUUUCCAGAAAUUUAGAUCUUAAAGACUUAAACUAACGCUAUAUUAGCAAAAUAAAGAAACAUGAUAUCAAUCAAAUUGUGGUCAACAUGUAAGACGAGUUCUUUGAAGAUUUGUUACAUUUGAAAAGUGUUCAAUGAUUUUGAAGAUAGCAAGAGCAACAUUGAAUACAGAUGAUGUGAAUUUAUAUCUUGAGAAGAAUAUUAGAAACAGAGAUAUUUAGUGCAGGGAAAACUCAAUCAUCAAGGAUAUUGAAAAGUCCGGAUGCUACGUUAAGAGAGAUGACGAUUUGAGGCAGGCUCAUUUCAAAAGUUGUUAGCGGUGUUAGGGCUAAGAACUUUGCUUCUACGCCAACAGCUCUAUACUGAUUUUUUUAUAUCAUGAACACAUCUCAAUGGUCCAUGGAAAACCUUCUGAGGAUCUUACAACAACUAUAUAUAUCUGGUCACUUAUUCGAUAACUUAAGGUUCUUGAUCUCAUAUGUCAUCUUUACCUAAAUAACGAAACAGAGCAUUUAAGUUUGUAUGGUUUACACUUUCCUUCUCUUGUGGCUUAGGAUGAAAUCAUCAUCAUCGUCCUCUUCAUCAACGACUUUCUUCUUCUUUCUAGGAUCUAAACCGCUGUUCUUUGACGCAUAUGUCCUUUGAGAACUCUCGGCUUUGCUAGUAUACGUUGGUGCCGGUUUAGUCGGUGUCCCCAUUCGAAUUUGCUUCAUCUUCCUCUGCUUUUUCUCAAAGGCUCGCUUUGCCUUAUCCGGAGACAACAUACCAUGUUCCAUUAGCCUGUUUCAACACAUUCAAGUUUUAUGCGCCUAUAAUGAGCCAAGAAGAACAAUAUAUUAAUUUCAUCUCAUAAAGGAACUUUUCAAUAGUGUAUUGCUCACCAGAACUCAGCCAUUUCGCUUCCUGUUAUUUGUUUGGAUAAGGAUUCGUAAAAUAUCCUCAAGGGCUCUCUCUGCAGAUGCAAAAGACAGAGAAACCAAUAAAAAAUAAAAAAUAUAAUCAAGAACAUGAAAAAAAAGGAAAGAUUUAGUAGAGUAAUCAUUAGAUAUGUCUUAGAAAUUAACCUCUUCAGGAGGAUCAAACUUUUGUCCGGGUAAUGAAUAAACCUUCUUCUCUCUUUUGGCUUUCCCUUUGGCUGUUGCAGCAGACGUUGUUGCUGUAGAUUUUACAGAUAUUUUGGGCUUUGCCUUCACAAAAGUUUUGCAAUAAAUAUGUUACAAAAUUCAACCUAGACACCAAAAUAUCCAAAAUCACGUCAUGAUUGAGACUUUUACAUAGAUGAUAAAAGAGAUCUCUAGUAAUAUCAUCAACCUAAUUCCAAAAUUUCAUCGCAGUGACCAACCUAGCUAGAUAUUGACUCUAAUCUUUAACAAUUUAUCAAAUUCAGAGGAAUGAAGAAAUUUCAGAGAACCCAAAUCAGAAACACGCGAUAAAAACUUAUAAGACAGAGACUUUUUCCCGAUUUGGUACCUCUGAUUUCGCCGUGACGGUGGAAACAGAGGAUCUGGGUUUGUUAUCCGACAUGAUCGGUUUGCUAGAGGUAACGAUUUUCUUCUUGUCUUUAAUAGACGGAUCGAUCUUGACUCUGGAAGAAAGAGAAGAAGACCCAACGCGUGGCUCGCUCUUAGCCGAACUUGGUCUCCCCUGUGUCGCCAUGAAAAGCUCAGAUUUACCUGAAAUUCUUUAGUUCAGCUCAGCUACCUUUAUUUUCUGCGUGAAGAAGAACCCGACAACGAUUCCUAGAAAUGUGAUGCAAUCUUCCGAUUCAGUCUUGCCGCUUUCGUAGUUUAUGUAGUGAAACGGUAAAAACUGAACAGUUUUAACCAUAAUUUAAAAUUUACAUGAGGAGUACCUUUUUAAAAAAAAUUCUUUCCUACUCCUAAUCACCUUUAUUUAUUGAUUUGGAGAUUUUUUUUUUUAUAAUUCUAAAAUAAAUCUCAAUAUAUUCAUAUGAAAUAUGUUGAAUCAUCAAUCUUUAAAAACAUAAAAAUAAUGAGUUAUCUACAAUCCGAAUUUGAAGUAAAUUGAGGUAACAAUCCAACUUUAUUAUAUAAUCCUGGUGAAACCAUAUGGCUAAAACGUCUGAAAAACCCGGUUAUACCAAACGGAAUGAAGAAUCAUAUGAAAUAUAUCAUACCGAACCGGUUCAUCAUCAUGCCACAUGAAAUGUUUUUGAACCUUGGACACCCUCUUGUGCAUCUCCACGUAUCUUCUCACCGGAAUCGAUACAAGAAUCUUCCUCAGGUUUGGAAUCUCCUUCUCCGGCACAAACACAGCGAAAGAUUCCCAGUUCAGAAUCUCAAGAAACGGUGGCACAAAGUUAUCAGAGAUAAUCACCGGAACGCAACCGUAAAGAAUCGACUCCACCACUCUAGGGCUAUUCACCUCGUACCCUUUAGCGCAAACGCAGAACCUACUUCGUUUCAUGUACCGGAUAUAUGAUUUGUGAUCGAUCCGGUUAAAGAUCUUCAUAUCUGGCUCGGGUCUCGAAGACCAAUGGUUGAGCAAGAUGGGUCUGACGUAACCGUGUAGGUUCCCGGCGAAGAAGGCGAGGAUGGUUCGCUUGGAUGGACGGUUACCUCCAAUUUUUCCGUUUGGGUUUUGUGCCGAAGAGACUUUCGUUUCCGGCAACGAGACGUCUUUUCCGACCACGAAGUCUACUCCGACAUCAGCAUUACAGAGUGAUCUAAUGCAGUUCAUGUAUGGCCCUCUAGUCUCAGCUGGAGCCUAUUAUAACAAAUAUGAAAACUUACAUUAAAAAUAACUAAUCAUAAAUAUCAGAUCAUUUCAUUAAAAUCUUUUGUUUUGACUUUUAAACACCAAUUUACUUUUUUUUUUUUGGUAGAAACCAAUUUACUUAUAUAUAUAUAUAUAUAUAUAUAUAUAUAUCUGUUUUCAUUUAAAGAUAUAUUUCCAUUUUUCUUCAAAAAUAUAUGUGAAUUUCCAUUUUUUUCAUAAAAUAUUCUUAUUAUGCUUUUAUACUUUAAACAGACAGGUACACUUUAUAGCUUAUAAAAAGGAAACUUCAAUAUAUAGUGCAAGCCAAAAAAAAUAUGGGGGUUUAAAAGAACAUACCCAAUCAUGGCAAGCGGUGAAGAAAUGAUCAGAGCCAAGAGUUCUAUUCCAGAAAGGGUGGUUGGAAGAGAUAAGAUCGAUGUAGUUCCUGAGAUACUUAACAAGGUUUCUACGACUAUGAGAAUCAUGAACGUAAAGUUUCAGUUGAAGCAUUCUGGAACUGAAAGGCAAGUAGAAAAGAUGAGCUUCGGUUGGGUCUUUCGUCAAGAACCUAUGGCUACUCUCCAUUAGUUUCAUAAACCAUCCUUCUGAUGCGUAAAUCCCUUCCAUCAUUGCCUCUGGCUGAUGGAAGAUUGGUCUGUCCCCUUCUGCAUGGACGUACACUUUUAGAGUCUGCUCCAUUAGCUCAUAGCUCCUACAAGAGACCGAUCAUUAAUAAACGUAUAUAUUUAUGUGUGGUUGCUUGUAGUAGAUUAUUUUUUUUGUUUACAGAAACACGAUUUAUAAAUGUAAAAUUAAACGCUGACGCAAGAAUUAGUUCGGCCUUUACUACCCUUGUACUGUAUAUGCUUAGUUUGGUUAAACGUUAAACCUUUUGAAUAUGGAUAGGUUAUGGUAGAGAGGCGCAUAAAGGGUAUCAUCCUUCUUAACCAAAGCUGCGUUCUUGAUCUUGUCUCUAGCAGUUUUAAGCUCUUCGUCCACUUUUGAUCCCCAACGAGGUUUCUAUGAACAUGAAAUGGUAGGAAAACAGGGGAAUCAGCAGAGUUAUGAGUAAUAAGAAAUUGGAACUUAUGGUAAAAUUAUUUGCAUACAAGUGAAUUUUUUGGAUCGUUAUGCCGCUUCCAUAACAUAUUGUUCAUCUGGGUUAUUGAUAUGACAACUAAAGGUGGCUUUUUGAUGUUCCUCUGGCUCUCCUCAUGUUUCUUGUGGAUUCGAGGAUUUUUGGGUUGAAGAGAAUGUACAGAACUAGUGGUUUCAUUGCCUCUACUUCGCUGAGAAGCUUCUGUUUUGGGAGAAUCAUUCAGAAACUUGUGCUCAAUACUCUUCAAGACUUUAGUUGUGCUAUUAUACGGUUUGAAUCCAGACGAUGCUUGUUGAGAUGCCAGAAACGUUUUAUUUUCAGCACUUUUGGUGGUACCAUUGGAUUCCCUGAACUCAGAAACGUUGCCGUUUCCAUGUGAAACAAUAGAUAAUGGAGCGAGUUCGAAAUACUGAAGGCCUAAAACUAAGGCAACAACUAGAACCAUGAGAAGAACAACUCUACAAGUUCUUGCUUGGCCUAGGAACCGCAAACCCCGAAUUUGAUCCAUCACAACCUGAAAGGAGCUCAGGUUCCUAUUGAACACAACGGAUCUUUCCUGAAAACAAUUAUUAGUUUUGUCUAAUUUACCCAUCAAAAUCCAAAACUAAAUACACCCACCUGUAACUAUUAGAUGAAGUUUAAGGCUAAAAGCUUAAGUACUGAUUCAUGAGGACUGUUCCAGAAACAGAACUUGAUCACUUACAUGGACAUCAGAUCAGAGCUUGUUGAUAUAUGGAGCUCUCUUAUCCGAGCGUUUCUUUGAAGUUUCUUGGAGUGAUCAUCAUCAAAAGAACUAGAAACAAUAAUUAACAAGCAAAGAGACAACAAGACAAGAGAAUCGAUGGCUUUUAAAUUUGUACUAUCAAAAGUCUUGACUAAUUAAGUAUACCCAAAAUAACAGUGUUUGGAUUUGAUAAACCAACAAGGUAUGAUAAUAACUUUCCUCGAAUUUUCAGAAGACACCCCUUAAUUAUCUGUGUUUGAUCAAUUACGACCCAUAGUUUUAUUUUCCAAAAGCUGCCUCUGUUUUUUUUUUUUUCUACUACAAUAUCUUUCAACAUUUAAACCACAUCUACUAUAACCAUCUGUUUUCUUACACAAAGUAUUAAGUAGUACUACAGCAUAUACUUAUUACCACUUAGUAGUUGACUUGAUUAAUAUAUUUUUCUUGAACUUAAUAUCUUACACAAUCCAAGAAAAUGUAUAAGAAGAGGGCACUCAAAACAAUGAGCUUAUAGUAUUUGAAGUUUGAGUUCAGUGUCAGCGUUUGCAUCCCGCACUCUCAGCUCUACAACGUGAUCCAUGCAUUGGAAGAUGUGAAUCUCUGUAUUUUCCCAAAGAGAGAAAAUUAAUUCCUCAGUAUCAUUGGUUUAUAUCUACCUAGAUAAAUUUUUAUACUAAACGCCACAUGAAAUUCUCUAUUCGUUAUAUAUAACCUUACCGAUCUUCCUCAACGUGUCCAAUUUAAAUGGUUUGCGAGGAACGAAACCAUACCAAUUGGUUAACUCAAUCAUGCUAACAUACAUACAUGUAAAACAAUAUAAUUAAAUUUGAUCUACAAUAUUUGUUUUAGUUGAUGAAUAUACAAUAUUUUGUUUAAACUGAUAAUAAUAAUCACAACAAUCAAUCCUCCAAUUUCCUCAACAUGGCCGUUGGCUCGUGCCAACACCAUCUUCCUCCUCUUCAUCAACGUAAGGAGCAAGAUUCAAGUAACAAUUACCGUGGCAGUUAUCGUAAUUACCACCACCGUCAUUAGGACUCUUAUUAGAGCUAUUGGCUCGCCACCGUGCACGGCAUACCACGCAGAUGCCUGGCCGCCGUCCACGACUCCUCCUCCACGCCAGCAUACAUUCUUCAUGCACCUUGUUCUUGCAGACUCGGCACUUCACCACGGCGACUUCCUUCUCCUCGCCUCCACCAUUUUCGCCGUUUAUACUUUUACUGCCGUUAAUAUCGUCUAGACAUAUAGGACAUGUUGCUGGCUCUUCGUCCUCCUCAUUUUCCUAUUCAAGAUAACGAAUGAUAUAUGCAUGUCAAAAUAUUUAAGUAUCUACCCAACAGUAAAGUAAAUUUCUAUCAAACAUUGAAUUUUACAUAGGAUAAUAAAAAUGUAACGAUAAAUUUCUAUGUAAAAAAAAAAGAUUUAGAUUUCUACAUGUUUGUUUAAUUAUAUUAUUGUAACUGGACAUGCAAAAUUUCGAACCAAUUUAUCAUGAAUUUCUCAUUAGGACAACAAUUAUCACAUGGUAAAUUUUUUUUACCAUUUUACUGGUGGAGGAGGAUGAGUUAGUAGUAUCGCCAGGUUGAGAAGUGGCGGCCGAAAAAAGCUGAAGAAACCGUUGCUGGAGAUGGAAACUGGCGAGGCAGUCAGGCAAUGUUGGGGCGGAGAGCAGGCGGUAGAGAAGACAUGGCCGGAGUCUCCGUUGCCUUAGACACUUGUCAUCGAGAGGAAGGCCAAGAACUCGGAUCAAGACAAACAAGAUAUGCUUGCACGGCUUCUUACGGUCGGGACAAGUACAAGUAGGUGUAGCCGUUAGCGUCACCGUGUAAACGUUACACGUUGCACCAAGAACAUGAAAAGUUCCGCCAUUUGGACGGUGGAGGAGACGAAUUCGGUGGCGAAGAGCUCGAAGUAUCCGAUCUGCCACCGGUUGAGCCAAGAAAUACCGUUGGUCACGGUUACUUACGUACGGAGAUAUUUGAUUCGAUCCGACAGAUUCCAUUGAUUUUUUAAGAAUUCCGUUACAACAGUUGGGAGAUUAUGCGAUUACAUAUUUAUGUUGUGGAGAUAGGUACAGUUACAAUCAUACACGUCAUGUAUUUUUGUGAAGAUUCUUGGUAUGGAACGAUGGCACACGUGUGGAAUAACGGCGACGUGUAGGCGAUCACAAAAUACGGCGUUACACGGAAUGCAAAAACCUCAUAUAUUUUAUUUUUUUUAACUCUUGAUUUAUUAUUUAUGGCAAAUUAUGAGAAUUGUUACAACGACGAUACUACUACCGACAAUUCUAUCCGACCUUUUUAGAUUCACCACAGAUUACAACCCUUUCCUGACGACACUUUCUUCUUCAUGCGUAGAAUCACGGCGAACGGCUCUAAUUGUGCAUUGUUAUAGAUCUCUUGUAAGCUUAACUCCUUAAUCUGCAAAUUAAAUAAAUCGCAUUACCCGGGCGUCGAACCCAGGACCUCUUGGUGUAGAAGCUUUAAAAACCUCAUAUAUUCGCGAUCCAAUUUAAUUAAUCUAAAAUUCAGACGUCGUGUGGUUUUCCGGAAGUACAGUGGCACAGCAUGCCAUUUAUUUUUCAUUAAUUUUUGUUUGAGAAACGUUGUCGUUUUGGGUUAAACCUUGUAAAAACUCAAUCCUCUAUCUUGCUCGCAGUAUAACCUAAAAUCAAAAUCACAGUCGCAUUCGUUUUGUCCGGCAAAAAUGGCUUCUAGAUGUCGAUCUUUGUCUAAACCAGCGUUUACUAUGUUUAGAUCUGCAAUGAACAAGCCCUCUCUUCGACCCAAAUCGGCUUCAUCGUUUCUGGGCGUCCCUCCUUCGCCUGGACUUUCGAGGUAACUCAACUGAUUGAUUGAUUGAUUUUUUUUUUCCUUCCCGACAUUUGAGUAGUGGAUUUGUAUUGGUGAGCUCCCGAUUCAUGUAUUUUGUUAAAGGGUUUGUUUGAAUAUUGAUAGGCCGAUUGCUCAGCUGGGAUCACUUCAAUCGUUGCUUCCAUUGUAUAGUGCGGUGGCUUCUGCUAGAUUGACUUCGUGCCUCGGUAUCGAUUCACAGAAUUCUAGGUCAUUAGCUCAGGGUAUGCUCUGCAGUGCGAAUCCAGGAGUUUGAUAUUCCAAAUCCAAAUGUUUUGUGUUUAGUAUAUCUGUAAGCAACCUUUUUUUUAACUCUUUGAUCUUUGCGUAGCUUCGAAUUGACAUGUUAUUUAAUCUUGGUUUCAAAUUAGAGAUUGGAUUUUCGUAAUUAAGAUUCGCUAGCAGUUUAUAUAUAGCCUAAGUAGAUAUUGCUUUUAGUUGGAUAGCUCUGUGUAACUUUGAUCCUCAUCUUUGCAGAACUGACUAUUGACAUUCAAGAAAUUCAUAGAAUUAUCACAGAUCUCGAACUUUUCUCUGUUUCAAACUUGCCCCUUCCCCAUAUUGGUUUGAUCUUUGCUUUGCUUUUCCUUCACAUUGUGCAGUUUGAUUAGGACUAUUGUGGUUUUCCGAGUUUCCUUUUAGUGAACUAUUAGUGUUUGCCAGGGCAUAUAUUCAUUGGUCUCUUAAACACAAAUAGGUUCUUGCUUAUCAAAGAAUUGUUUAGGCAUAAGAAUCUUGUAUUGGCUCGAAGAUGAAAGAGAUGCCCUUUUGGUGCUGCUAUUUCUUCAUCUUCUCUUUGAACUUUUUGUAGUAUUAUUGAUUGCAAAAAACAAUUGAAACAAAUAUGUUUUGAUGGCACAUAUACUAAUCUAUGUCUCUCAUGAAUCUUUGCAGAGCUCGGCCUAAGCGUGCCUCGAUAAUGAGACCAGACUCGAAGAAAUUUGGAUUCGUUUUAGAUGAGAUUCUCUGCAUCUUUGCUUUUGCUGGUCUAAUUCAAUCACUCAGAUCAGUUCUCUGUCAUUUGGAUGAUAAAACACUCUCUUCUUUAGUUACAUUCCAAUUAAGCAACACAAUGUCUUUUGGAACUUCUAUGUUCAACACAUCAAGAUUGAACAAUAAUAGCCUCUUGUCUAUGCUAUUGGUUAAGCCAUGAUUUUGCUAUUCAAUUAUUAUUGGCUAGUUUUAGUUUUACUUGUUUGUGUGUAUAUGAGUUGUUAUUCAAAGUUUCAUUUAGGAUGGAUGAUUAAAUCUAGUGAUCGUAUAUAACUAUCAAAAAUGAUAUCUUCAGCAUGAAAGUUAAGCCAUGCCCAUGAGAUACUCGAACCCUUCAGAAACUUUGUAUGUAGUGAUAAUACGACUUGCCGUUUCUUAUAAUGCACAAAAUUGUGUCGUAGAUAAACGCCUUGCCGUUUUCUACAAUGUAAAACGACGUGACGUCUACUGUGUUUUCAAACAAUCCUUGUAGACACUCUCGGCAAAUUUACAGCUCUUCAACACGAAGAGAGCAAAAAAUGGAGAAGAAGCGUGAAGGAGUAAUGGAAGCAAUGAGUCGGAUCGUAUCAGAUCCUUUCUACUUCCUCCAUUUCAUGGCCUUCUUCUCUUACCUUCCGAUUCGUAGCUCCGCCGCACCCUACACUUCUCAUCGACUCUUCGACAGAGAAAUCCAAGCAUUUCUAGCGUUCCUUAUGUUUUCCGCUAUCAAGGUUUGAGCUUACUUCGAAUUUGAUUAAAUCGCUUGAGUUCUUCACUCCCUGAUUUAUUGAUUUGUGCAAAAUCGUAUUGUAGAUGGUGAGGGAGGAAACAUGGGAAGCUUUUGUUGCGGAUGGUUUACUCUACGCUAAGGUUAACACUCUCGCCGGUUUCAGAUUCCGAAUCAAAAUUGAAUUGUUAGUCAACUUUAAGAUUCAUGUGAAAUCUGCUGAUACACAUUUAUUUACUCGCCCCAGAUCUUUCUCAUAGCUGUUUCGUUGAUUAUGGAUUACCGAGUGGCGAUCUGGUUCUCUGUCAUAUUUUCAGGUGAGCUCAAUUCCUAUCUCUUUGAUUAAAUAUGUGAUAUUGUAUAGGAAAUGCAGAUUUCAGUGUUGAUUGAUCUUAAACCAUUGAUUGAGUCUUUCUAUGUUUGAUUUGAAUGUUUCCUUUUGCAGUUAUAUAUCUUUUAGCUCAACAGCCAGCAUUUAGUAAAUUAGGUAUGGGAUGAUUCUUCAAGUUCUUGCUUUUAUGUGGAUUUGCUGAAUCAAAAGUUGUAUUCUUUGUAAAUUGCGUAAACGUUUGCAGGAACUGCGAAGAAGCUAACACCUAUGCAGUUGGAGGAUUUGCUGUCUGAUGGGAGCACAACGAAAUACUGGUUGGUACGUGGGAACUACUGGCUUUAUCUUUUAGAUGAUACAUUUGAAAAAACCAAGGAGAAGACUUUGGGUAAUGAAAUGAUUUAGUUGCAGAGAGCAUAGCUUACACUCGGAACCCAACAAAGCAUGAUGUCUAUGAAGCUAGAUAAUACCUGUAGCCUCCCCUUACUAUUAUGUCAUCAAAGUUUGUCUUUCUUUUGUUUAGCUGUCAAUCAUUUAAGAAACAGAACUGAUAUGCAACAAUUAGUAAAACAAUGUCGGAAAUUGAACUUUCAUCUGCAAAAGGUUAUUAUUGAAGGCUUGUAGCUACUUUUAUGAUGAUGUGCCUUUCUUAUCUUUUGCAGAUAGAAUUCUUUGCAUGUAGUUCUUCUAAGUGUGUUCGUUCAAGCCGAUGCUUUCCCGAACUCUCUAUCACGUAAGCUUUGUGUAUGAAUUAAGAAAGACCCCAAUUUCACUGUUAGUCUUAAGACACACUCACUCACUCUUCUUCCAUUUCUUCAGGUACUCGAAUAAUCUUUUGUCUUUCGGAACUGUUGAUUUUGGACUUUUCCCUAAUACUGCUGCUAAGUUCGGAAUAUCUCUUGCCGGUAAUAAUUCUUCACUAACUCAUUAAUUUGUCCAAUCUCAAAAACACAUCGAGUCUCUGUUGUGGAAGCAACUGAUCAUAUUGUGUAUCAUAUAUAGGUGGAAUGUCUCAGCUUCCAACAUAUAUAUUGUUCGAAAAGGGUGUUGAAGUUUCUCGGUUCCCAGACUUUUAUGUCGAUGCUGCACCUUCUUUACCCAUAACCAAGGUUUACAUGCUUUGACAAAAUUGGCAAGAAAUCAGUUUUUUAAUGGCUGCAUUAAUUCUCUUAAGGCUAUACGGCUGUAAAUGGAAUUUAUAAAAGUUGUGUUUAUGUGUGGAGGUGGACUGAUUGGACCAAUAUAUUUCUAUAUUUUAUUUGUGGCGGAGAAAACGAAUAACGGAUAUACAACUUUCUGGCCUUCGCUUGCAAGAGCAGUAUGAAGAAAUCAACACAACCAUCAAGUUUAUGGAUUCGUUUGUUUGUUCUUCUAUAAUGGGCAUUUUUAGUGAGGCUCUUCAGAGAAAACGACAGUAUUAUAUUCUAGUGCUAUAGAGAGAUAGAAAGAUUCUGUUGAAAUCUUACGGGGUUUGAACUUCAGCGAAGAAUUCUUGAAUACCUUGGUAAUGGAAAUAUCACUUUCUGACUUCUCUUUAGUUCCAUUCGUUGUCAUGAAUUUUGAGGCUCAUUUGCACUCGUACGUCUCUUAUUGUGUUGUUUUCAUGUGGUAUAUACCACAACCCAUUUAUAAUCCUUUGUCCUAUGUGUGGACUAGAAAAUUACCAGUAAAUAAGUUGGAUCGUGCGUGCGGGCGGCUACUAUUCCAAGUAUCAUAUCUUUACCCUGCCAAUUAUAUUUUUGCAAACAUUCCAAAACUAAUAUGUAGUGAAAGCAACAAGUAAUAAAGUAUGGGGAGCCCAAUAAGUAAGUAUGUUGAUAUACAAAAGAAAGCAUCGUUAUCUUUAAAAGACGUGUGAUUACGAUUUAAGAGUUGAAUGAACAAGAAACUGAAUGGUAAAGAUGAUGCCUAGUGGCAACGUCUGCUCGUCAUGUUCCAGAAUCCUAAUUUAGCCAUUAAAUAAUUUGAUUUGAUCUCUUGACUCGGCUUUUGCAUCUCACUUUCUCGUGUCUAUCGUUGUGUUUACAUCAUAAAUCAUACUGUACUUUAAUCUAACUAAUAACUAUAAUAUAUAUAAAUCCAACUAAUAUCAGGAAUACUAUUCAAUGUAUAAGGAAAUAAAAAUGUACCAAAAUAAAUAAUAAUAAUAAUCAGUUUCUCAAAACGCGGUCAAUAAAUUAAAAUCAUUUAAUAUCGUAUAACUCGUAACGGACCAUUUAUAUCAUUCUAUCUAACUCAUCAACGGUUCUUGACCGAACACUCCCGGAAACUCCGUAUCUGCACCGUCCAAAUCUCUGACUUGGGACCGCUCAACAACACUCCUACAUAAUCUCGUUAGUUUGACAACCAAUGAGGUAUAUCCACGUAGCCAGUCUCACCAUGCUCCGCCACUACAUAAGAUUAAAGUAAUCACCUCUUAUAAAUUGAGUCCCACCAUUUGCCCCAAAAUUUCCUGACAUUUUCUCUGUUACACGCUUUCCUUCUUUCUCCAUUUUUUUUAAUUUUCUUACGAUUUGUGAAUCUCUUUUACAUAUUUUCCGGCGAUGGCGUCAACGUCGGGAGAAAUGGAGCAAUUGACAUCAGGAGCGAGCAAUCGGAUCAUUUUUAUUUCGAGAACGCUUAGGAAAUGUCUCGUCUUCGUCUUCUCUCUCGUACUUUCUCUUCUCCUCGUUCUCCGUCUCCGUCCUCGUCGCCGUGUCUCGCCUCUUUCAUCGCCGGAGGAGGGGGAGGAGGCUGUUCCUGCUCCUUCUAGGCGAUGGAGGCGGAAGAUGGCAUGGAAGCUGGAGGAGGAAGACACGGCUAGACGUCGUUCCUUGGCUGAAGGCGUUGAGAUGGCCGGAAAUGAAGAGAUCCCUUGUCGUUGGAGCAGUUCUUUGUUUUACGGCCGUCGUGGUAACGCUUUGUUCUCUCGGUCGUGGUUGCCUCUCUCCGGCGAACUCAGGUAAUUAGCCUCUCGAUUUUUGCAUGCACAAAAUUAGAAUCCUCCGGUUAAGUUCUUAAUCAGAAGUUUUAUCUAACCUUGGUUUCGAUUUUGACUUUGAAUUUUUGAAUUUUAUUAAUCUCUUCAGGGGGAUUUUGAUUAUUAUUCAUGGACUCAAUGAACACAGGUGAAAAAUCAACACUUUUUUAUUUUUAUUUUCAAAUUUAAUUCGUCUUACUAAAUUCUCUAUUAUUCGAUCAAUCUCUCAAUCUGUGAAUUUCUUAAUGUCCAGUGGAAGAUAUUCUCAAUUCGCUAAGCAGCUAAACUCGAGUCAUUUAGGUGUAUACGCUAUGGACUGGAUUGGUAUGAACACGAGCUUGUUCUGUUUCUUCUUCAUUUUCAUAUUUGUUCUGAAACUGUGGGUCUGAACAGGUCGCCAUAUGUUUGGUUUGGUCCAUAACUGUAUUAGGUCACGGUGGGAGUGAUGGUUUGCAUGGCUAUGUUCCUUCUCUUGAUUAUGUUGUUUCCGACACUGUAAGUUUACCAUCUUACAAACAUUACUUCUUCUUUUUUUUUUUUUGUCUUUUUUGGUGAUGAAACUAGAGAAAUGUUCCAUUUGAAGUUGUUGAUUUAGUGAUUUGGUGUCUUGAUUUGAAUUCUAUAGGAAGCUUUCUUGGAAAAGAUUAGGUAUGAGAACCCGGGGGUCCCCUGUUUUCUCUUUGGUCACUCCACUGGUGGAGCUGUGGUUUUGAAGGUACUUCAUUUCGUACCUUUGAAGCUCUGUUCAAGCUUUUAUUGUUUACAGUGUCCUGACAUAAGGGUCUACUUUGUGUUAAUAUAGGCAGCUUCAUCUCCCUCUAUUGAAAAUAUGUUAGCUGGAAUUGUCCUGACAUCGCCUGCACUUCGUGUCAAACCCGCUCAUCCCAUUGUUGGGGUAAGUCGUCUCCUUUGCAGUAUUCAAGUUAGAUGCUUUGUCAUUCUAGGCCGGAGAACUUUGUGGGUGAUCAUUAGGUCAUAUGUUUCUUUGUAGGCAAUAGCUCCACUCUUUUCAUUGGUCGCCCCAAGGUUCCAAUUCAAAGGAGCAAACAAGAGAGGCAUUCCGGUCUCAAGAGACCCUGAAGCUCUCUUAGCCAAGUACUCUGAUCCAUUAGUCUACACUGGUCCAAUAAGAGUCCGAACAGGCCAUGAGAUACUUCGCAUAACAGCUUACUUGACCAGGAACUUCAAAUCUGUUACAGUGCCUUUCUUUGUUCUCCAUGGUACAGCGGACAAAGUCACUGAUCCACUAGCUUCACAAGAUUUGUAUAAUCAGGCACCAUCAGUUUUUAAAGACAUCAAACUCUAUGAUGGUUUCUUACACGACCUUCUCUUUGAACCUGAGCGUGAAGAAGUCGGUCGUGAUAUCAUAGAUUGGAUGAUGAAGCGGCUUGACGAUGUUAACGGAUCAGCCGUUGGCCUCUGGUAAAAUAUCAAAUGGCGAAAUAUCAGAGGUCUUCCUCUUCUCUAGGUAGUUGUAAUACAAAUGGCGUGUUUGUAAAAUCAGAAGCCGAAUGUAGGAAAUACAAAUAUGUAUAAUGGGUUUAAUCUUUGAAUUGUUUGAUUAUUGAAAUUUUCCUUACAAUGGAUGAAGAUAGAUAUGCAUGUGAAUGCAUACUUCAUAAGUAUAUAUUAUCAUUGAUUUUGUUUUCCUUGCUCAUUUUGUUUCCUAACAAUGGAUGAAGAUAGAUAUGGCUUCCUUACAAUGGAUGAAGAUGGAUAUGGUUUCUUAGUAUAAAGAGAGCAUGUUAGUGAUUUCUCAGCUGUUUGACAUGGCUAGUAUGUAAAUUAUAAUAUGUGUUGGUGGUAAAAAUUAACAGAUGUAGCUAGAGACAUGAUAUAUAGUGUAUUAGUGUGGAGACUCAGAGAAAAAGGUCGUCGUUUAGUAUAUCUAUAUAGAAAGGAUAACCAGAGAAAGUCAUGGAGUAAAAUCUUCUUAAUCCACACGUAAGAAUUGAUUUUUCUCUGCUAAUGGUACUAUGCCACUAUUCUUCUUAAAUGGAAUGAUAUUUUUGGUUAUUUGCUCUAGUUCCCAUAGUCCAAGUUACGUUUUAAUUACCUUAUAAUGUCCUUUUUAACUAGAGGUUUCUUGGUUCCUCAAAUUUGUGUUCUUUAAUUACAGUUUAUAUGUAUGUAUGUAUGUAUGUAUGUUCAAUGUUUCUUGUAGUUUAAUCUAUCUGUCAUAGAAUGCAUGAUAACAAUAUGCAAAUCUCUAUUCAUUCGCUGAAAAGAGACAUCUACUGGAGGAUUAUCAGUAGAGAAUGUGUUGUCCAAAAGUUUUGAAAUGGCUGAGAGGUCAAGAUUUAUGGACCAAUAUUCUCUAAUUUUAGGCAAAAUUAAAGAAGUUUUGACAUGAUCAUUUAUUUUUGCAGACAAUACCAUGUAUACAUUAUUUUACAUGUGAGUGAAGUUGGUGGAAAAUCAUUAAUCAUCAAGCAAUUUACAGUAGUCCGGUAAACAAAUGAUCGUAUAUAGCAUUUUCUUGCAUUAUAUAUAUUCUUACAUAAAAAAUAUAAUUUUGUCAAAUGUCUUCAGUAGCUGAAGUUUAUUUUUUUCAAGAUGUGAAUGGUUGCACUAUUUAGAUUGUCUACCAAUAUUGUGUAAGACAUAUAUUAAUUGUUUGUUUGAUGUUAACGUAUUUAUCAUUUGAAUAGUAUAAUUUUGUAUGGUCCUAUUAUUUCAAAGUUGUAGUUUUAUUAAAGAAUUUAUAUCCUCAUCAGUUUUCGUUUCUCAUUGAAUUCAGUACCACUUGAUAUGUAGCUUUUUGUUUUUUUUGGGGUAUAUAUGUUAAGAUUCUACAAACUUUUAAAAGAGGGAUACAACCUAUUCCACCCAACAACAGAGACAUAUAUAGGGAAAACCCCAAAAGAAAAAGAAACUCAAAAGAAAGAAACCAAAAAUGGAAACUUAAGUUGGAGCAUGCAUGUGAGAUUUCAAGAUUUCGUAAUUAUAUAAAUAUACAAAAACAUUGUAAACUAAAAAAAAACCUUUCACGAGAAUAUAUAGGUUAAUAAUAGAAUUCUUGUAACGUCGAAAAUUAUACAGAAGAAUAAUUUUCUAGUUCUGAUUAAGGAAACCUGUCAUAACUACCGUGGGACACACACUCCAUUAACAAGUGAACAAAGCCAAUCUGACGGUGUAGAAGAUAACACGUGUCUUGACUUAACGACAAACAUAGAUUCUCCUAACCACCCUUAUUAAUGUUUGAAUCGGGGUAUUCAUUCGCUUUGAAAAUAAACCGGUUUAAUAACCGGAAAAUAAAAACAUGUAAACCGAUCUAAUUUAUGUACCCAGUGUAAAUUUGGUGCUAGAAGCGAACUCGUAUUCACUUUUUUUUUAUUUUUUUUUUCUUUUUUUUUUUUUUUUUAAAGUUGACAAUAGUAAACACCAUAGUCAAAUUACAAAAACAUAUUAAAACUAUACUAGCAAACAAACGAAACUUUCAAAGGUAAUUUUUUCAAUUAGCUAUAUAUUUUAACAUCAAUAAGAUAGCAAACUAAAUGACUCAAAUUGUAUUCUUAUAAUCAAGUUAUAACAUGCUUAAACAAAGAUAAGUGUUCUACUAAAAACCAUUAACACAUAUUGUUAAAAAUGUCAAUUUAAAAAAAAAAACUUAAAUCAAAUUGAUUAAAAAUCAACCGUCCAUCAAUACAAGAACUAAAAAAAGUAGGAAAAGUUAAUCUGGAUACUUAUAUUGGACCUUACCGUAAAAAACUAAAGUUAGUGAAGUGUUUGUUGAACAAAUCUAUUAUUAAAAAUAGUGCGUUGAUGAUAUUUCUCCAAAACAUGAUGUAUCAUGUAUGUACGAGCUGGAGUUUAAUUUUUAAAGCAUGAGGCAAGGCCCUUGCUACUAAAAAUAUACUAAUCAAGAGUCAAGACCGUACAGAAAUAUGUAGAUACAUUUUAAAAAUUUAAAUUCUUAAAUAUAUAUAUAUAUAAAUUGGAAUCCUAUUGAAAUUGAGCCUUCGCCAUUUACAUGAACGCAACAGAUAAACCAAGAUCUAAUCUAUUUCGAGAUAUAAUAUUGAAUCAUAUAAAUAAUUACAAAAAAUGACAAUAUUCAGUAAGUUGGAGGGUAGUGUUAUUUUCACUAUAUAACUCGUGUUAUUUUAGUUGCUUGCUUUCUAAAAUCUUGAUCUUUUUUAAAAAAAAACAUUUUCUAUAAUGCAAGGUUUAACAAUCAAGGAGAAUUAAAGUAGAUUAUUUUAUUGUCAGGAAAAACACUAUUAGUUCAAAAAAAAAAUUAUUGUCAGGAAAAACAUUUAUAUUAUAUUGUCUCUACAAAAGCAAAACCUAGGCAGGCCACUCACUCAUUUGCCCUAAAAGGACUGUGACCCUUAAUUUCACGUAGAUAAUUUUACGUUCCAAACUGGGAAAUAUAGAGUUAGUGAUUUUUAUGCUAUCUUCGAAACUGUGAUACCUACCGGAAAGGAAAAAACUGUGUUAGCAAUUGAAUCCGUGUUACGUUGCUCGUUACUCAUCGAACAAGAACAGAACCUUGCCUCCACAACACCAUUUCUCCAUUGCUUUUUUUCCCCAGAAGAUCUCCUUUUCUCCAUGGACGCACCUGAAGCCCGCCUCCUCGGAGGGUACGUACGGUUUGUGAAGUUUUCCUUCUUCUCUUCUUCGACUUGCGGUUCUCAAUCUUUUUUCAGCCUCACACUUCUCUUUGUGCAGGCUCUUCUUCUGUUGGCUUGAGCUUGUACAGGCUCCAAGAACCAUGUUGAGAGGUUUUUGGGUGGUUUUCCUUCUGUCAUGCAUCGCUUUGCCCGGCGUUUUACCGGAUCAGGUAUUAGAAACAUUUCUUUGAAAUUUUUCUGAUUCGUCUGAAUUUUUUUUCUUAGUUGAUUGUUGUAUUAUAUUACGUAUUAACGUUUUAUUAGUUGAUUCUCGUAUUAUUUGCUGAAAUUUUUCUUCUGAUUAUCUUUUAGUUGAAUAUUGUAUUAUUUUACUAAUAUGUCUGAAUUUUUUUUAGCAGAUAACUUCAGAUGGUGAUAUAGUGGAAUGCGUAGACAAAUUCAGACAACCAGCAUUCGAGAAUCCACUUCUAAAAUAUCACAAAUUACAAGUAAUUUAUUCAAUUUUUUUUAGUUUAAAAAAAAACUUUUAUUUAUGUAAUUUAUGAUUUAUAUCAAUAUUAACCAAUUUUUUGUUUUGUUUUAAUAAAAAUAAUACAGGAUGUACCGUCUGAAAUACCCAAGAUGAUCGGAACUCAAAAGGGGAAAAGACAAACACAAGAAGCUUAUGUCAGUACUACGAAAUGCCCAGACGGAGCUAUCCCGAUCCUAUUGUCCGGUCAUGCCAAAAAUCGGACACAACCUGAGACCAAAGAUUACCACUCCGGACAUGAGGUAAUAAAUUCUACCAUAUAAAACAUUCAAACAACUAAAAAAAAAAAAAGUAAUAGUAAUAAUCAAAGACUCGAUUGGUAUGGUUCAAAAGAACAGUCCUAAUUCUGCACAUAUAAGAAUAAGUAGCAAACAUGAAUUAUAAUCAAGUUACUUUAAUAAUCAUGUUUAAUCUUUGACUAUAUGUAAAUUUGAUAAAUAAUUUGAAACAUGCAAUAAUUUCUUACACCCAUAAUCUGUUCUAUUUCUAUCAAACAUCUAUUUGGUUUAGUAGCCAAUAAUCAUUACAAGAACAUUUCCCAUCUUUAAAAUGAUGAAAAACGAUUCAAUUUCCCUCAACAUAAUCUCUCUACCAUAAACCAGAAACCAUCAAUACACAGUACAGCUAUCUCUUUAGUUAUUGAACCCAAACCGGUUUAGGUUUCACCGUGCCUAUAAGCCCAAAUGCCACGUUCUCUGACUCGUUCCUUUAGAAAGGAGAAGAGUUUUUCUAAAACACAAUUACAAGAAAACAAAUGUGGGUAAUAAGAGCCCAUUUAAAUAUUCAUAAAGGCCCAAUUUAAGAAACAUACCCAACACAUUUCACAGAAGAGAUUUAAUAGCCUCUGUACCGAGAUUACAGUUUUGCAUAUGUGAUGACAUAAGACUAUGAUCCUGCAUCCUAUCAGAUACCUUUCUGCAAUCAUCUACCUCAACCCAUCCAGAAAGCGAUCCGCAUACACAUAAGCAACUAAACUACACUCUAACAUCAUCCCCAGUCUUGAUCUAGUGGCCCAAGAAUGCCAAUUGCUUCUUCCCAGAAACAAGUUAUCCGACAAAGAGAUUAUAUAGUGUGAACUUUUGUUUUUUUUUUUUUUUUGUGUGCACAAUAUAGUGUGAACUUAUCUGAUUGAAAUCCACCAAAAAAACCAUGUCCAAUAAAAAUCUUGUUGCUUCUUUAGGAUAACCCCAUUUGCAUACACAUACACCGAGUUAUCAUCAACGUCCAAGUGACAACAUUUAGUUAGUGAACCAACCGAGUAAAUUGAAAACCCCAUUUGCAUACACAUACACUGAAUAAAAUUGAACUGAAAUCUACGAUCUAAGAUAGAAUCUCUAACUAGUUACAACGACAUAAAGCUUCUGAUGCGGAACCACUUUGAGAAGAUGAGUAAUAUAAUGCUGUUGUUACUGAAACCGGACAUUAACCAUCAAUAACCGAAACAACCCAAUCUCCCAAUAGAGCGUGACUGAGUUUUCCCCAGUGGUAAAUCGCCUUGUGUGAUAAAAGACUUUCCGCUUCUUUUAAAAAUAAUUGGGUAGGACUUUUACAUGAUGAAAACUUUGAGAUUUUGAGAUAAAUUUAGGGGCCAUUUUGCAAAAAUUUAGAAUUCGAUUGUAUGUUCAUCAUUUUUAAUAACAAACAAAAAAUACACCUAAUUCAACUUUGUGUUUCUAUAAUUUAUUUAAAUUAAUCAUUUAAAAAUUACUAACUUGACGAAAGCCCUUCUAACAAAAAAAGAAAAGAGAAUGCCAUACUUUGCAAAAGUUAAAUAUAACAGUACAAAUGCCUAAGUAUAUAUUCUUAUUAAUAAUUAAUUACUGGUUGAAUACAUGCAGUAUGCGAUCGUAUCCUAUGAGGAUAACACGAAGUUGUACGGAACAAAAGCCGUACUCAACGUUUGGGAUCCAGCCAUAGAAGAAGGAGCAGCAGAGAUGUCUCUAGCGCAAAUUUGGAUUGCAUCAGGCGAUUAUGAGACCGCUGAUCUUAACACCAUUGAAGUGGGCUGGCAGGUACGCUUACUUUCAUUUUUAACAUCUUAAUUUUGUUUGUUAUUAACAUACUUAGUUUUAAUUAUAUAUGUAAAACAAACGACUAAAACAGUAAUUUGUUUUCGUUAUUCAAAUAUGCAGGUUCUGCCUCAGAUGUAUAACGACAUCAGGCCUAGGUUAUUCCUCUUUUGGACGGUACGUUUCAUUCUUUAUCACUAUUACUUCAUACUAUAUUCUACUUCUUUUUUUUUUUCCGUUUGAUAACGUUCCAGCACAUAAAUUAUAAUUACAUUUAUUGUUUGCAAUAUGGAUUUCAUAUUUAAUUACUUCAGAGCUAGUAGUAAUACUGUUACAACUUUAAAUAGAUAAAAGAUUAAACGGACCACUACUACUAUAAUUAAGUCUAUAACUGAAUCAUCGAGAACUCUUUAUAGAUCCACUCAGCCUUCCUUUUUUAUCAUCAUUAUAAUUAUAAGAAAAGACAACGGGAUUAAGUAUAUAUUGUUUUUUUUUUGGGCAAAAAGUAUACAUUGUUAAGAAAAUAAUAGUGAACCAAAAAAUGACUGGUUUGUUGAACUGAGUCUUUUAUAGUUUUAUGUGGUUAAGUUGGCAAACUGUUACAAGUUAUAUCUAACUACUAAAUUAAAAUUAAAGAAAAACUUAAAUAACAGUAAAAUAAGUAUUUAAAAUCCACACUUUUUUUGUUGUUGUUUCACACACUUGUAUUCAAAAUAUAAUAUCAAUAUAAAAAUUGAAAACGAAAUUUAGAAGUAACUUCUAUAACUGAUCUUAUCAGUCAAACUCUUAAAUAAAUUUAUAUCAAAUUUGGUAAAUUUUAAAUGUAGUUGUUCUUUUACUAGGUUUUUUGCUGUUUCCAAAAUACUUAUUAUUGUAAUACACUGGUACUAUAAUAUGAUUUUGAAUUAUUUAUGCUAAUAGCAAUGUUUUUGUUUUACAGGGUAAUACAUACCGAAGUGGGUGCUACAACGUCCGCUGCUCUGGUUUUAUCCAAACCAGUGGCAGUAUCGUCGUUGGAGGCCCAAUUGCCCCGGUUUCUUCUUUAGGAGGUAUCCAGACCGAACUUACAGUUUUCGUGUGGAAGGUUAGUAAUUUUAAGAUUUUAUUUUAAAAAUAUGUUUUUGAUAAAAAUAAAAAUUAAUUAGGAAAAAAUAGUUAACGAAUAUAUUUAAGGUUCAAUAAAAGUUAAAUAAUUAAUGUAUAUAUUAAAGGUUUAAUUAGAAAAUUUGUAAAUCAUUACAUGCACGAAGAUGAUUGAACUCACCAUUCUCUAGUAAGAUUUUAUGUAUAUUUACAUUGAAUUUUUAAAUCGUAUGUGAGAAGCUUAUAAUUUCAACUUUGUUAGUAUAGAUUUUAUGUAUAUUUACAUUUUUCUUAUGAAAAUAUUUUUAGACAUAGAUUGUUAACUAACUAACUAAUCAAAAUACAGGAUCGGAAAUCAGGAAACUGGUGGUUAAGUUUAGGCGUUAGCAUAGUAGGAUAUUGGCCAGCCGAACUGUUUACUACACUUGCUGAUCACGCAGCCUACGUACAAUGGGGCGGUGAGAUCCUGAACAAGCAGCCUUUAGGACGACACACGACGACCCAAAUGGGUUCCGGGCAUUUUCCAGACGAAGGUUUUGGGAGAAGCGGUUACUUCAGAAACUUGGAAUACGUUGAUUACAACAACCGGUUAGAGUCAGUCCCAGUCCAAAAGUUGGGCAUCAUAGUAACUAACCCAGAUUGUUACAAGGUCAAGCAUCUAUUUUCAGAUGAUUGGAAGACCCAGUUCUACUAUGGGGGGCCAGGGUUUACCCAUUCAGGAGCUACAUUGGCACUUGCCUCACGCUCUCUAUUUUUCGUUGUAGUUGUAUUACUAUUUCUUAUCGUUUAGUGUAUUUUUUUUCUUAAUUUAUAACUCUUCUGUAAUAUUUAGAGAGAGGAAAAAAACAAUUUGGACAAUGGAAGGACUGUAUGUGUAUGGGUUGAUAGAGAAAUAUUUAGCUAACCACCACACCAUGUAAAGUGAUCGGUUAAUAAAGUAAGUACACGGUAAUCGGUUUCUAUCUAUUACAGACAAGUAAAGUUAUAAUUUGACACCUUCCGUAACUUCUGUAAUAUUCAAAGGUGACAUAUUUUAAAAACAAAUUUAAUCAAAUGAAAUAUUUUUCUUUUAACAAAAAAGACAAGUACUAAACAGCUAAACAAAAAAAGGCAUAUUUUCAAGUUUUUUUUGGAUGAUACCCAAAAAAGAAUCAACUCAGCAAUUCAUAAUCCUGCCUCUUCUCUCUAUUUCCAUCACCCUUAAGGUAUGGUUCUCGCUCACCACCUUUCCCAACGCCUUAAUUAGUCCGGAGCUAAGUGAGCAAUUUGAGCUCCUCUUUCUCUUAAUUUAUUUUAGGGAUCUCAUAUAUAUAUAUAUAUAUAUAUUAGAUUUUGGGUAGUAUAUAUCCUUUUAUAAUGAGUAUUUUUUUUCAAUUGUUAAAGAAGAAGAAAAAAAUCAAAGUUGGAUUGUUUUGUUUGUUUGGAAAGAUGACUGCUAUUUCACACAUGGGAUACGGAUACCACCAACGUAACUGCUGUCUGGUCUCCACGAAUAACGCAAACGUUUCUCACUACUCACUCAUCAUCUUUCCUAACGCAUUAAUUAGUCCGACGCUAAGUUGAACAUGCAGUUUGUGCCAUUUGGGUUCCUCCUCCCCUUUCUCUUGUAUCGUAUUUUUGAAUAUAGAAUCGACUUUUUUUGGGCUAUUUAUCCUUUUAUGAUGAGGUUUUAAUUCUUUACUAUUUUGUGAUACUCAUUAUAUAUAUCUUUUAGUUGUAUUUUUGUUAAGAAGAAAAUAUGUUCUUUAGCUUUAGUUCUUUAGAAAAAAGUAUUUUAUAUGAUUUGGUGUGUUUUUUAAAAAAAAUCUCAAUUUAAUACCACAAGAUUUUAUUUUGACCAUAAUGAUUCUUCCAGAUUUGCCACCAAUAAAUAUUUUGAUUAUAUAUAAAUCAGCUUCUUUACUAUUUUUGAUACUUUGCAAAAAAAAAAAAAAAAAACUAUAUUUGGAGGUUAAUAUAUUUAGUAGAAAGGAGUGGAUAACUGAAGUGACUGAACAAAUAAUAUAUUCAAGAUCAUUGAGUUAUUAUGUUUUUAAAAGCAAUACCAUAUAGUAAAGUAAGUUUUAUUUCGAUAAAUUUAUUAUCUAUUACAAUUGAAAACCAACAACAUAAAAGUCAAUCAUAACAUAAUUCGUCGCUUAAAUCACCAAUUAUAAGAUUUUUUUUUGAUUUUACGCUCUACUGCAACAACAUUUUCCAGUGCUCUGAUUUGGAACACAAUGUCCGGCACGAUAAUGUUUCAUUGCACAGUCAAUAUGGCAUUCAUAAUCUUCAUAAUAUCCUAUCUCACACUUAGCAAAACAGUUCGGUGGUCCUACACAUACAACCCACAACAAAUUAUAUAUUCUUGAUUUUAUAUUUUAGAAAAGAAAAAUAUUUACUAUUGGUCUUAAACUUCUUAAGCAUAGUUACAUAAUGAUAAUAAGAUAGAAGAGAACUCGUAUGUAAUAAAAAUCAUACCUGCUAAAACAUUGAUGUCGGAUAACGAAAUUGUCAAUAUUAUGACAAGAAAAAACGUGACAGAGAUUUUUGUGAUAUUCAUUAUAUAUCCCUUUAGUUUUAUUUCUGUAAUGAAGAAAAAAUGUUCUAUUGCUUUAUAGUUGUUUAGAAGAAGCUGAAUUUAUAGGAUUUUGUGUUUUUAUAAAGAAAACUCAAUUUAAUACCCCAAGAUUUUAUUUUGACCAAAAUGAUUCUCUUGAAUUUGCUACUAAUAAAUAUUUGGAAAUAUAUAUACAUAUAUAUAAUUGAAUCUCUACUAUUUUUAAUGGCAAGUUCAUGGAAAUAUAUUAUAUACAGUAGAAAAACUAUUAUAGAAAUAUAUUUCUGGUCACAAUAUUUUAUAAUUUGGUAGUCAUUUAAAUUUGAUAAGUAUUUUAUAAAAUCAAACUUGAAUAAUAAUAGAAAAAGUUAUAAUAAAAUCCAGCAAAUUAAUUUAUGUGUUAAUUUAUCAUGAAGGAAAAUCUCAGUGGUUUAAUAUUUUUAACGAAAAAUUCAAGUGACCAGUAAAAAGAUAUAUAAUUCACAAUAAGCAAAUUGAUAUCCAUAUCUGGACUUAACGUAGGACUUUCUUUUCACAUUGAGAGUCUGUUUUUUGUUGUUGUUGUUAAGAUUUCUUCGAGUCUCCAACCAACAGUUUUUAACUGAAUAUUCUUGGAGAUUUAUUCUUAAAGGUUUUUUUCUGCAUGAAGCGUCUCAUGGUAAUACUUGUAAACGCAAAGCAUGUGAUGUGACGAGAAUGUGUGAAAGCGAAAUGUCUCAGAAGAGACAACAAUACAUAUACAUACUGUGCUCAAUUCAAUUGCUCACCACAACAUGAAUGGAGACACAAUUCUGCCUAACAAACACGCAACUAUGAUACCCAAAAAAAGAAUCAAACUCAGCAAUCCAUAACCCUACCUCUUCUUUCUAUUCCCAUCACCCUUCAGGCUUCAGGUACGGUUCCGAGGCUAAGUGAGCAAUUUGAGCUCCUCCCCCUUUCUCUUAUUUUAUCUCUUUUGUAUAUAUACUUGACUUACUUUGGGCUAUAGUAUUUACCCUUUUAUAAUGAGUCUUUUUUUUUUUUCUUCUAUUGUUAAAGAAGACAAAAAAAUCAUAGUUGGAUUUUGUUUUUUUUCUUUGGAAAGAUAACUGCUAUUUCACACAUGGGAUACCAACGUAAUAAUGCAAACGUUUUGGUAUUCUUUUCUAUAAUUAUAUAUUUAUAUUCUUCUACCUUAUUGCAAAAUAGAAAAAAAAAACGAGCAAUGAACCCAAAAUUUUGAGUUAAAUAACAAUCAUAACUAUUUUUAAUGCGAUUUAAAGCCACAUCUAUAUUCUUGAUUGUUAAAUUUCACUUAAAAACUGUAUCUAUAGUUGAAGGAUGUUAAUAUACAUUAGUAGAUUAAACGCGGUAUAAUACAUUUUUAAUGUACAUUUGGACGUUAUUACUUAUUACUAUGGUGGAUUAAACAUUUGGAUAAUUAAAGUGAAGGAACAAAUAAUAUAUAUUUGAUUCUAUUUUGUUGAGUAAUUAUGCUUUAACAAAAGCAAUACCAUAUAGUAAAGUUACUUUUAUUUCGAUGAAUUUAGUACACAUUCUAUUUGAAAAUCAACAACUCAAAAAAAAAAAAAAACAUAAUCCAUCCCUUAAAUCACCAAUUAUAAGAAAAUAAUCAAUUUUUAUUUUGGGAAAAUUGAUUUUAAAGGAUGUUUUUUUUUAAAUUUGUCCAUUUAUGCCUUCUUUUUUAAAGUUUGGUAUAUUAGGUUUUAGAAUAGGAAAAUGCUCAAUUAUAUCCUUACUUAAAUUAUAUGGAAAUAAACAUCAAACUUUUUGAAAAAAAAAACAUCAAAUUAGGAAAUUUUCUGUAAGAAAAAAAGAUAUUCUUAAAUCUAAAAAAAUCAAAAACAUAUAUUAUUUUUCCUUUUAAAAAAAAACUCUUCUCAUUUAAUAUUGUAAAAAGGUAAAAAAAACCAAAGAUAGACUCGACGAUGUCAAAAUUUUCUGAAAAAUAAAAACUUCAUUUGUUCGUGAUUAUCAAACCUAAACUAGGAAGAUUGUUUGAGACUAGCUCUUUGAUAUUGUUAGUUUUUAAUUUUUGGUCAAACUCAAGGACUGUAUAUACACCUAACGUUCACUCAAAAUAAAAAUAUAUGAUUUCUAGAUAUUAGGGAAUACAAAAUAUUUUGUUUCCUUUAAUUUAGGAUUCAAUUUCCUUGUAUAAGAUAGUUCUAAAAAUUCGUAGAAUACAUUUUCUAAAAUAUGAAGAACGAAGAGUAAAGUGUAGAAUUGAUGAUCUAACUUUUGCAGAAUAUAGGGUAAAGUGUAGAAAAUAAAUUCUAAAAUUUGUAGAAUAUAGAGUAACAUGUAGAAUACAUAUUCCAAAUUUUGUANNNNNNNNNNNNNNNNNNNNNNNNNNNNNNNNNNNNNNNNNNNNNNNNNNNNNNNNNNNNNNNNNNNNNNNNNNNNNNNNNNNNNNNNNNNNNNNNNNNNNNNNNNNNNNNNNNNNNNNNNNNNNNNNNNNNNNNNNNNNNNNNNNNNNNNNNNNNGUAUUCUAAAUAUUGCAGAAUGAUUUUUUCAAUAUCAAAAUCAACAUACUUUCAUCCAAAACUCUUUUGUUUAACAUUAAAUCUUAUUAAUCUUUAAUUGUUGAUAUGUUUUAAUUUAAAAAUUAAUUAAAAAUUAAUUUUAUUUAUUUAAAAGGGUAAUUUAGGUAUAACUGACAAUUUACCGCAGAAAGCAUAAAAGGACAAAUUUUUAAAAAAACAUUCUUUAAAAUCAAAACCCCCUUUUAUUUUCUAGUACAACAACAUUUUCCAGAUAUCUGAUUUGGAACACAACCUCCAUAAUCAUAUCCUUUCUGUCUACAAUCAAGGAUGCAUUCAUAAUCUUCAUAGUAUCCUUCAGCACACUUAGCAAAACAGUUCGGUCCUACACAUACAACCCACCAAAAAAUUAGAUAUGUUUAAUAUAUUUUGCAUUUAUACACAAUUUUUUCUAAAUAAAUCUUAAAACAUGUACAAAUGGUACCUUUAAGUAUAUAUAUAUAAUAGCUAUUCUCGAUUAUAUAUUUUGAAAAAGUAAAAUAUUUACCCUUGAUCAUAAAAUUAUCAAAAAUAGUUACAUAAUAAUAUUAAUAUAUGAGAAAAUUCUUCUCAUAAAAACAUUCUUAUAAAAAUAUCAUACCUGAAGCGGCUAAAACAUUGUUGCCAGAUAACGAAAUUGUCAAUAUUAUGACAAGAAAAAAAGUGACAGAGACUUUUGUGAUACUCAUUAUAUAUGAUCUUUUAGUUUUCUUUCUGUUGGGAUGAAAAAUAUGUUCUAUAGCUUUAUAGUUCUUUAGAAUAAGCUAUAUUUAUAUGAUUAUUGUGACUUUAAAAAAUUCUCAAUUUAAUACCCCAAGAUUUUAUUUUGACCAUAAUUAUUAUUUCGGAUUUGUUACCAAUAAAUUUUUGGAAAGUAUAUAUAUAUAUAUAAAGUUCAAUAAUUACACAAGAAAAUAUUUUUUAAAAACAGAACUUGAAUAAUAACAAAGAAAUUAUGAAAAAUCUGCAGAUUAAUUUAUGUGUUAACUUUAUCAUGAAGGAAAAUUACAAUGAAUUAAUAUCUUUUAAUUAAAAAUUUAAGUGACCAGAAAGAGAUAUAAUUCAGAAUGGUGUAGUUUAGUGAUAAAUGAGUUGCUUUUAUAUCAAAAGUAUUAAAAUAGCAUAAAUUUUAUACAAACUGUUUUUGUUGUUAAGAUUUCUUUGAAUGUUCAACAAACUGUUUUUAACUGAAUAAUAUUGGAGAUUCAUUUUUUUUUUCAUCAAUAAUAUUGGAGAUUCAUUCUUAAAGGUUUUUGCAUGAAGCGUCUCAUGGUAAUACUUGUAAACGUAAGGCAUGUGAAUAUAUGAUGCGAGGAGAAUGUGUGAAAGCAAAUGUCUCAGAAGAGACAACAAUAUGUGUAUAUACAUAAUGUGUUCAAUUAAAUUGCUUACCAGCUUAUAUAUUAUGCACACAACAGCGAGCCUUUUGACUUUUUAUAGAAGUGAAAAACGAGAAAUUAAAGGGUCAACAAAAUGAAACAUAAAGGAAAGUAAUUACUUUGACAAAUAUUGGAGUAGGUGAUAAAUAAAAAAAGUGCAACAUUUUGGAAUCGAUUCCUUGUAUAUGUUCUAGAAUAGAUAUGAGCUUUUAUCGACUAAUAAAACGCGUCUUGUUGUGAGAUCUCCUGGUCCGUUUCAGUUUAAUUUUGUAUGAACACGAAAAAAUAGUAAUGGCCGAGGGGAAAAGUAAACAUUGGUCAAUGGAAAAGUAAGUGGAAACAAUAAGAGACGAGAAGCUAAAAAAAUAUUGGUGAAAUAUGCAAACUAUUUAAAAAUUGCAAAAAGCUUAUUUUAAAACAUACAUUACAUCAGGACGUAUGUCGUUACGAGUUAUAUGAAUUGAUUAUUUUUUUGUUCGUCAUGAAUUUGAUUAAUUAAGGCACUAGUUGUAGUCGCAAUCCAUAUCCAUGAUCGUUUAAUUAAAAAUCAUUAGUAGACUAAAUAUUCCUUAUAUAGUUAAAGGCACUAUAAUGACACUUCGGUACCUAUCUGAGGUGGGUUUUUUUUUUCUUUCUUUUUUCUUUGUAAUAAUGUAUUUGAUGAUAAUCCUCACUUUUUUGUUCUGUAAAAUAAUUGUAAAGAAAAAAAGAUAAAUAAUAACAUGUUGACAUAUAAUAACGUAUAUUCAAGUUGUGAGAGGAUCAAUCGUUCAAUCUCGGCUGCCAAGUUUGAUCCUCAGAGACACGUCCCCGCAGCCUCAAAAUACAAUUAUUGUCUUUCCUUUUUUAUUUUCUCACUGUAUACAAUUAUUAUUAUAUAUUUUUAAUUUUAUCAUCACAAUUUUUUUUCUUUUUUAACAUCAUUACUAGGCAUGACCACGGUUACGGUUAAUGCGGUUAUGGUUAAUUAACCACCGGUUAACGGUUAUAAUUUUUUAACCAUAACCUUAAUCAUUAUAUAUACGGUUAAGACGGUUACGGUUAUAUACGGUUACGGUUAAUUACGGUUACGGUUAAAUACGGUUACGGUUAUUUGAUGAUUAUUAUAAUAUUAAUAUUGGAGAUAAAAUUUUAUGAAAUAUUAUUUAUUUUACAAGUAAAAAACAUAUUUGAUUUCAAUUAUUUAUAGUGAAUUAGUUAAAUCUGGGUAUUGUAUACAGUUAUAAUAUAAUUUAUUUUAAAAUUUUAAAUAUGCGGUUAACCGAGCGUUUAACCGUACGGUUAACCGACGAUUAAUUACGGUUAAUUAUGGUUACGGUUAAUUAACGGUUACGGUUAUUAUUAUUUUUUAACCGUAACUAAUUUACUUUUACGGUUAACGGUUACAAUUUUUAACCGUUUUAUACGGUUACGGUCCGGUUACGGUUGAUAAACGAUCCGGUUACGGUUAAAAAUACGGUUAAGGUUAGCUUUUGGUCAUGCCUAAUUAUAUCCAUGUAUUAUUAGUAAUUAAUCUAUUACUAAAGAAUGGGGGUAAUUAACAAUUCAGCAAUUUUGACUCUUGUUCUUUUUCAAUUGGUUAUCUAAUUUAACACUCAUAUUCCUGUUUUAUCUUCUAAUCUAUUAUUUAUUUCUUCAUUAAAAAAAAGACUAAAACGACACCAAAAACAAGAAAUACACAACACUUACUUGCUGGCUGAUGAAUUUUUAUUAUUUAUCCAUCAACUUGGUGAAACUGUUUAGGGGGGAAAAAACAUACAAUUGGUAUUGUAGUACUGCAAUUUUUUAGAAUGUGAAAAUCGUUUUAUUUAACAAUGUUUUUUAUAUAUAAAAAGACAAUAAUAGUAUAAGGUAAAAAAAAAAAAAAGAGAGGUAAUGGAUGAAGAGAGGACCUACACGAGAGAGGGUGACUCAGUCCACGUUCUUCUUCUCGAUUUGUCAAUUAGCUCCAAUUUUCAGACUUUUUUUGCAUUUUCAAACUGUUUCUUUCGUUUUCCUCUUUCUCUGGCCUAUAUAAUUCCACUAUCCUCCACUUCUGUGUUUCCAUCAUCAUUCACCUAAGAAAAUAUCUUCUAAGCUCUCAUCCAUCAUUCAACAACUCUCUUCAAUCUACUUCUCUGUUUCCUCUGUUUCCUCUGUUUCUUGAUUGUUGUUGUGUUUAGCUCGGAAGAUAGAUAUGGGAAGUACUCCGGCUGAGUUACCUUGUGAGGAUGUCGCCGAUAACAGAUCCGGCGUUGGCGGUGGUAUCUCUGAUGUCUACGGUGAGGAUUCCGCCACCUUGGACCAGCUCGUCACUCCCUGGGUUACCUCCGUCGCUAGGUUAGUCAACGCUCCUUUAGAUUUCAUACCCUUUUUGUUUUACUUUGAUCUUUCACAGUUUCGUAGCUUAGUAAAGCUGUUUGCAAGUAAAGUUAGCUUUUUUUGUUUAUUUAGUUUAUAAACUUAAAAGCCAAGAAAAUUUCUGUGAAAUAUGAACUUUAGUUUUUUCUUGUCGUUGAAGUUCCAGUUUUUUUUUUCCUGUGGAGCUUUAUAGUGGAUUGAAAUGUUUUUUUUUUUGUAGUGGUUACUCGUUGAUGCGUGAUCCGCGUUACAACAAGGGACUUGCAUUCACUGAUAAAGAAAGAGAUGCUCAUUACUUAACUGGUCUUCUUCCCCCUGUGGUUUUGAGUCAGGAUGUUCAGGUGACUUGGAAAAUGAGCUCACUUUUUGUUCUGUUUUGAUUUGGGUUUCUUUGUGUUGUUAACUUGUGAUUUGCGGUUCAUUUAUUAGGAGAGAAAGCUUAUGCACAAUCUCCGUCAGUACACUGUUCCUCUACAGCGUUACAUGGCCCUCAUGGAUCUUCAGGUCAGUGAUUGUUCUUAGAAACCAUAGUAGAGAAUACGGCCGUUAGUUUUUCUUAUGAAAUGGUAACUUAUGUAUCUGAGUCUUGCAGGAAAGGAACGAGAGGUUGUUCUAUAAGCUUUUGAUUGAUAACGUUGAGGAGUUGCUACCAGUUGUGUACACACCAACAGUUGGUGAGGCUUGCCAGAAGUAUGGGAGCAUUUUCAGGAAGCCACAGGGUCUCUACAUCAGUUUGAAAGAGAAGUAUGUGUUUAAAAUCUUGUUUACCAGGUCACUUUCCAUUUUGUUUCUCUGAAACACUAAAUUGGAAUGUAUGUUCCUUUAGGGGCAAGAUUCUUGAAGUGUUGAAGAACUGGCCCCAGAGAGGGAUCCAAGUUAUCGUUGUUACUGAUGGUGAGCGUAUUCUCGGUCUGGGAGAUCUUGGUUGCCAGGUAAUAAAAUUGGUCCUUGAGUUAGACACUUGAAACUUAUUCCCAUGUUAUGCUGAGGACCUGUAUUUAUCAUUUAUUGUUAACGUUUCCAGGGAAUGGGAAUUCCAGUGGGCAAACUAUCUCUUUACACAGCUUUGGGAGGAAUCCGUCCAUCAGCUGUAAGCACUAGAACAAAGGCUUCAAUAUAUUUGCCUAGAAAUUAGUUAUACUUGAUUGAUUAUUCAAUGACAAUAGUUUGAUCCUAAGUGCAAAUCCGCUUUCAAAUGCAGUGUCUUCCAAUCACCAUUGAUGUUGGUACAAACAAUGAGAAGUUGCUGAAUGAUGAAUUCUACAUCGGCCUUAAACAACGAAGGGCAACUGGCCAGGUUUACUAAUCUUUUUCAUAUUAUUUCUUUCCCUUCUUAUAACUAAUGCAAUGGUCUUUUUUUUUCAAAAACUGACUAGUCUGUUUGCUUUUUUGUUUUCAGGAAUAUGCAGAUUUUCUUCACGAGUUCAUGUGCGCUGUCAAGCAGAACUAUGGAGAGAAAGUGUUGGUACAGGUGAGCCAUGGGAUACAACUCUCUUAAACACUACGGAUUUUGUUAGAGUUAUUCUUUUUCUUAAGAUGUCCCGGAAUAAUAUCAUACAUACUCUUCUUUUCAGUUUGAAGAUUUUGCAAACCACAAUGCAUUUGACCUUUUGUCUAAGUACAGCUCUAGCCAUCUUGUCUUCAAUGACGAUAUCCAGGUAACUUCUUUACCUCAAGAUUUUGAUUCUAUUUCCUUACAUUUUAGUUGAGAUGGGAGAGAGCUUACCAAGAACUUGUUUUUUGUUUUGUGUAAUUGCAGGGUACUGCAUCUGUGGUACUUGCUGGGCUUAUUGCCGCUCAGAAAGUGCUUGGUAAAACCCUGGCUGACCAUACCUUCUUGUUCUUGGGUGCUGGAGAGGUGAGACAGAAGCAUUAUACUCUAUAAGCUUAUCAAUUUGUUUUGCAUAUAUGUUUUGCUGCUUACACUUUAUCUCGCUGGUUCUUUGAAGGCUGGAACCGGUAUUGCUGAGCUAAUUGCUCUUAAGAUUUCAAAAGAGGUUAGUUAAUCUGUUUUUUUUUUCUUACGUUUUCUCUGUUUUCUGCUAAGAAUAUGUGAUUGAUCAUAUCUCGGUUGUUUUGUAGACUGGAGCUCCCAUCAAUGAGACCCGUAAGAAGAUUUGGCUCGUGGACUCCAAGGUAUUGUUGAGAGCCACCCAGAUCAGGCUCAUUCUCUUUAGUUGGAUAAACCUUCUUGGUUUUUAAUGUAUCUCUUUUCAACUUUAUUUGCAGGGACUGAUUGUUAGCUCGCGAAAAGAAUCUCUUCAGCACUUCAAGCAGCCAUGGGCUCAUGAGCACGAACCUGUCAAGAACCUCAUUGGUGCUGUCAAUGUACGUGAUGAGCUCAUCUUUAAGUUUCUUGAUGGGAGAAUAAAGGAUCUUGAUGUCAGAUGUUUUAUUCUUGUGUUCACUCUUUUUUUUUUUUUAAUACUUUUUCAAACAGGCAAUCAAGCCAACUGUUCUCAUUGGAACAUCCGGUGUGGGUCAAACUUUCACAAAGGAAGUUGUUGAGGCCAUGGCUACUAACAACGAGGUUUCUUUUUGUUCUUCCUUUCUGCUUUCUUUCAAAAAACAAGGUUUAUAUGUUAUUGUUCUAAUACUUGUCUUGGUGUUGGCAUAUAGAAACCGUUGAUUCUUGCUCUUUCAAACCCUACUUCUCAAGCUGAGUGUACCGCAGAACAGGCUUACACAUGGACCAAGGUAUACUGUCUCAUAUGACAUCUAAUGUGAUUAAUGUCUGACUCCUGAUUAUUUAAAAAAUCAUAAUUUGGUUUUGUUGCUGCUCUCAUGUCUAAUCAUAUAUUGUGCUUAAUAUAGGGUCGUGCAAUCUUUGGAAGUGGAAGCCCAUUUGAUCCUGUUGAGUACGAUGGCAAAACUUACUUGCCUGGCCAGGUUCGUGCUGUUUCCACAACUCCUUACCUCUCAACUUUAAAUUUUUCUAUGUGACAAUUUGAGUGCUCACAUCAUAUUUCCAUAAUCCUACUUCACUCAGGCAAACAAUUGCUACAUUUUCCCGGGUUUGGGUCUUGGUUUGAUCAUGUCCGGUGCUAUCCGUGUCCGUGAUGACAUGCUCCUUGCAGCUUGUAAGUAAAAAUAAACACCAUAAAAUCAAACUUGGAUACUGAUGAGUUGUUGUGACAGUCAUUUACAAGAUUCUCAAUGUAACUAUCUCUAACUUGUCUCUCUCUGUUUUCAACAGCUGAAGCAUUGGCAGCACAAGUCACAGAAGAGCAUUUCGCCAACGGUCUGAUCUACCCACCAUUCUCAAACAUCAGAGAGAUCUCAGCUAACAUUGCAGCCAGUGUUGCCGCCAAAACCUAUGACCUCGGUUAGUUGAAUGAAACUGUCUUAACACUUUUAAUGAGACCGUCUUAACUCUAAUCUCAAGGUUCUAAAUCAAUGUAUUUGUGGUAUAGGAUUGGCGUCUAACCUCCCACGUGCAAAGGAUCUGGUCAAGUUUGCAGAGAGCAGCAUGUACAGCCCUGUCUACAGAAACUACCGUUAAAAAAAAGUUUUGUUGAAGAAACACCUGCAGAUUCUCCUAUUCAGAACCCUUAAUAAUAGUUCUUCUUGAAGCUUGUAUUGAGUUUUAUUGUUGCUUGUUCGUUUGAUUUCUACUUCUUCUUCUUCAUUCUGAUGUUGUUUAAGAACUCUCUUUGUAUUUUGCUGAUGAAUAAUAAAUUUUCUAAUUACUACUAUAAUCUUCCCAUCAUUUAUUUGUCUAAAACAUUUCCAACCCCCACUGAGAACACAAUCAACUUAUGCUUUAUCCUGGUUUAGAAUUUCUUUUGUACUCUUCAUAGCCUCAAAGUUCUGAAACUAAGGAACUUCAACUGUUGCUAAAAUAAACGAAUAUGUAUAGAUUUUUUCAUUACUUCGUUUAAAAGAGUUCAUCAAAGUACUUACUUUUCAUUACUUUGUCUUAAAAUCAAAAGCUCAAACCAAAUUUGUUGAAAUGGGGUAAAAUCACUCAAAUUUUGAUUGCGAGCGAAAUUGAAAUUAAGAAAUAAGUUGAGGGAGUAAAUAAUGGUUAAAAAGGUUUUAAGAAAAAACACGUUUGGUUUAAUAAACCGCGUGAUCAUCUCUCUUUCUCUUCUGGAAUAAGCGAGAAGCUCUAAAUCUCAUCUCUCGUCCCUUUUAUUAUAACUUUCAUCUUCUUCUUCUCCAAUCUCUCCUCCGAUCAAAUCCAUUUUUUUUUUUAGCUAUCGACAGAGGUAUGUAAAUUUCGAAUUCUCUGCUUUUCCGGAAAACUCUACUAGCGUUCUGAUCAGAUGCGGCGCGAAUAGUGCAGGCUUGCUUGAAACUACCAAAUUUUGGGUCGUUCUGUGGCUUGUUUCUUAUUGCUGCUAUCAGAUUUUGAUUCUCUUAGAAUUAAGGGAUUUUACAUGUUCUCUUCGUAUGAUUGAUUAUGUCUUGUCAGUUAUUAUGGACUAACCUAGGUUUUGUUUCUAUUACCAGUGCUUUGAUUUUGUUCAAUCGGCUCUGGUUACCUCGAUCUAUGAAUUUCGAUUGCUGAUUUGAAUUGAGUAAUAGAGGCAAUUGUAACAUAACGUGUGUUAUGCCAUGAAUUUAUGAACAAGGGAAUCCUGGGUUUAACUUUUCAUGUUGAGAUUACGAACCUUGGAAUUGACUUCUGUUAACUAAUGUCUUUGGAACUUGUUUACACUCUCGUUUGUAUGAUCAAUUAAUAAUAAUCUUACAUGGUGAUCAGGUUUACACAGAGAAGCAGAACAGAACAAGGAAUUAUAUAAUCAUUCGUUUACCCAAUCUGAACUGCAGCUCAUGGCGCUUAACCCUCAAUUGCUACCCAAUGGGAUGCCGGUUCCCUUUGUUAAUGAAAUGUUCGUUCUAGUCAGAGAUGGUGUUGAGUUUGAAGUCAACAAGAUCCCUGGGUUCGUGUUCCCUUCUCUUUAUCUUUCUUGUUUUUAUUCACUGUGGGUUUGAUUCCAUAACUACUGUGAGUUUCCAAUUUAUAGUAUCGUUUUAGAUGUUUUGGAUCGGUUUUGAGCUAAAAAAGAGCCAAUAAGUUUACUUGUAAAUUAGAUAAGUCUCAGAGCUGUGGGUGUUAAACACUUCCCUAAUGUUCUUAUAUUUUGUUUGAUCCAGAGGGCAUGGAGGUCAGGUUAAGUCCAAGGGAGUGAUUUACUUGUCCAAUAUACGGAUGGUCAUUGUUGCAAGCAAGCCUGUUGAGAACUUUGUUGCUUUUGACAUGCCCCUGGUACAGUAACUUUAUCUGAUGCUUCUCUCUUAUUCAGUUUAUACUAGCUACAAGUAUAUGUUACUAUAUACUACAUGUUAGCUUAUGGACUAUAUGUUACUCUGUAGCUUUUCAUCCAUGCUGAGAAAUUCAAUCAGCCAAUAUUUCACUGCAACAACAUUGCUGGACACGUGGAGCCUGUAAGUAGAAACUUUCAUGUGGAAUUACAAUUUGAAUCCUUGCCAUGAAAUUAGUGUAUACUUAGUGGCAUGUAAUAAUAUUUUCAGGUGGUGCCAGAAAACGAGCAUAGAGCUCUAUACUCAACACACAAUUUCAAGAUCCUGUUCAAGGAAGGUGGUUGUGGGACGUUUGUUCCUCUCUUUCUGAAUCUCAUAUCAUCAGUGAGACAAUACAAUCGACAAAUGCAACAAGCAGCAGAAGCAGCGGCGGCAGCUCCACGAGUUGAUCCUCUUCAAGCCGCUCAGACCCCUGUGGAUGAAAUGAUGAGACAUGCGUAAGUCCCCUCUAAAUCAAAGCUUCUGUUUUGAUAGAGUACUAAAAAGCUGUUGUUUCUGAAAGUCGCACGUGUGGUCAUUGUGUGUAUUUGCAGGUACGUGGACCCUAAUGAUCCAACGAGGAUAUAUUUGCAGCAGCCAUCAGGGGAAUCUCAGUUGAGGCGGAGAGCUUACCAUCCGGGUGCAGCGGAACAUUGACAUUGUCAUACACGAAAAACACACAAAGGCUAUGGAUACAUAAAUACCUAAGGGACUAGUGUUGCAAAUAAGCAAAGGUGUAGUUGGUUUUAUGUUAACCUUGGAAACUAAACGACUUGUGUAAUGAGAAAGACGAGACUUGUUGGGCGUGUGAGUUGUAUCUGUGUGACAGUUGGAUUCAUAUAAUAAUUUGAAAGUUUGGUAUACAUGUCGCACAAAUGAACAAUUACAACACGUCAACCUUAGAAGUAAUCGCAAACAAACGAAGAUGACAGAAGCUUGGGAAGUAUAGUGUUACUUACUAUUGUUGACAAAAAAAAAAAAACCGGUUUGAUUCGGUUUGAUACAAGAAUCUUGUGAAUGGACGACAAAAUUGUAACCUCAGCUCAGGCACCAUAGCAUUUGAUUUUGUGUUCAGCCCGAGUUUUAAGAUUGGGCGCCUUUGAAAUUAAACAACCCAAAGUUACGCCUUUGAAAUUAAACAACCCAAAGUUACUUUUGGAGUGAGGAUCUUAUAUGUUGAACCUUUUUGACUCAUAAACCCCAGUUUCGAGGGCUCUGAGUACGCUACGCACGUCUCCAAUUUAGGUCAGUAGAAUCUGCUUCUUCUCCCUGGUUAGUGUGUCAUUUAAUCUCCGUUUUGUUUGCUCUUGAUCGAAACAUCUUAGAUUUGUGCCUUUGAUGUAUUUUCUGGUAUUUGGAUUCUUGUGCUGAGCUCAAUUGAAGUUCCGAUAUCCUUGAUAGAAAUGUUGAAGCUCUGAUUCGUUUACUCCAAUAGAUUAUCCAGCGGUUUAGCCCUUUUUCACAUUUGCAGCUUUUUAUGCGGUUGUGUUCAUAGUUUGUUCUUAAGAUUUUGAAUCAUCCAGCUGUGUUGUGUCUCUUACCUUCCUAUGUAGCAACCAGGCUUCUCACUGAUUUGUAAUAAAGUUGAAUAAUGGUGUCUUAGCCCGAUAGGGAUCAACCCUUCAGCUUCUUCUUUUAUGUUCUUAAUUCCAAACUCUUUUGAGGGUGUUUUGCAGCAACGAGGAUUCAUAUUGAUUGAUGGACACCCAUAAAGAAUCUCGGGAUCGUGGCCUUUACGGUUUAGUCAAUAAAAUUGGUUAUGCAUUUGGAAUGGGAGCUAUUGGAGGUUCUGUAUAUCAUUUCAUAAAAGGGGCAUACAAUUCCCCAAUAGGUGGUCGUUUGGUCGGAGGUGCACAAGCAGCGAACAUGAAUGCUCCUCGUUUGGGAGGCAGAUUUGCUGCAUACGGAGGCUUGUUCUCAGCAUUUGACUGCACACUGGUGUACAUCAGGAAGAAGGAAGAUCCAUGGAACUCAAUCAUGGCAGGUGCUGCUACAGGAGGGUUUCUUUCUCUGCGGCACGGGAUUGUUGCAGCUUCUACAUCAGCGGUUAUGGGAGGGGUUUUGUUUGGUUUGUUCACAGGGUCUGCGUUAAUGAACAAGUAAAGCUUUUUUGGGUUGUGAUUGUUGACUGAUGACUAAUGAGAGCCUCUCUCUCUCUCUCUCUCUGGGUUGUGUUUGAUGCGUUUUCUAAAAUUUUCGCGUUUAGAUCUUCAUGGUCCUUACUAAAAUGUACUCCAAAGUAACUAUUUCAUCAGUAUUAAUAGAUUUUGUAGCACGACUAUGUUGGAUAUCUUCCGAUCAUUUUUGUGUAAACAUUAUCAAGGAUAUACUUUUGGAUCUUCAAGUGUUUUUACUACAUUCAAUAAGUUCAUUUUUAAAAUUAACGUAAAGCAGAUGAGAUCUCUGGCCAAACCAUUUGGGAAGAAGAGUAAGACAGAAAGAAGAAGGAAUGAGUCGUCACCAAUGUGUAAUGAAGAGGUCAUUGAGCUUAAAAGUCAAAAGUCAACUUUUCACUGAUUUUGAACAUUCUGAUUAAUCCUUGAGAAAGUACAAAGACUGCACACACCAGAUUAAGAACCAAAUCCAUUUCUUGUCAAUAUACACCAAAAUAAAAACAACUCAAAGUGUACUGAGGCAGAUAUAAUAAGCACAGCCUCAAGUAGAUCGAUCAUUUGGUUUCUCACUUAUUUACAUACAACCCUUAAGAGGAUCUUCACCCAUAACCAACACGACCAUCCACUCAAAACCAAAACAAAACCAAGACCCCAUGGAACCCAACCAGGAUCUUUAGAUUACAGGUUUUGUCCCUAAUUAUAUCCCUCAAAUAAACUUGUUUUCUUUUUCUUUUUUUCUUUUGCUUAAAAAUCAGCGUUCCUUCUCUUUUGUACCCUAAUUCUAUUCACCUGAAGUAAUAGAAUUACAAGAAGAGAAACAAACAAAACAAAAAAAAACAAACUGAAAUCCCCACUCCAAACUGGGGCAGGACUGUUUUUAGUUGUUCUGAGGAAAAUUACCUGACAAGACUUUGUCACGACUGCCAAAAAAGCUCAAAAUCCUUACUAUACAAUGAGCGGUCUUGUAUCUCCAAGUUUGCUACAUGUCGAUUUAUGAGUUGCGACUGCAUUAUCUUACACGCGACCAAUCCUGCUGGGAAUAUCCACCAUUCACUUUCACCCCUGCAUCCCCAAAACCGCUCAAACAUCGCAAACCCAAUAGACCAAAACAUAAGAAUACAUAGAGAGAGACUCUUUUUAAGUAUUACUUUGCAUAGUAGUAAAACUCACAUGUUUAUAUUCCAUGGCUGAAAUGGAGUUUUCUUGCUGGCUGAUGAUUCACUAUUAUAAUGAACAUAUCCGCAGAGGAAAGCUACAAACUGUCACAAAAUCAAAAUUUGUCAGAUAACGUGAGAUAUGUCAUGUCCGCAUAUCUAAAGAAUCGACCCAUAAUGUCCACAGAUAUAACAAAUAUAUUCAUCCUCAUGUGAAAUGAACCACAAAUUUCAUAUUGCAUUUCUCCACAAAAUAGGUUGUCAACAAUGCAAACUUACCACAUUGACUAAGGACAUGAAGUUCCACAAAGCGUAUACACGUGCUAAGCCAGCAGAACGCCUGGGUCCAUGGCUGAAUAAGGCAUUGAUCCCAGCAGGGAAUGGUAGAAGCAAGCCGAGCGGUAAUAUAAACAAAGCCAACAGUACAUCCAGCAAAGAAAUCGAAUAUAGCUGGAGCAGUGUGAGCAAGACUAAACUAAAAUCUCCUAAAAGUAACAUUGAGAUAACUAAGCCAACCAUAUCCUGCAAUAUCACAAAGAUAACAGAGGAAAGAGACAUUAAUAACUCUAGAAAAGAAAAGUUGGAUGUCACAGCAUUUAAAUACAUUCAUACCAUAAGGAUUUUGAUUGGGAAGUACCUGGUGACCCACUGGUUUAGUGUUGUGAACUAAGAAAGAGAGAAGGAAAAACAUAUCUCUCUUCUCUUUCAGACUCGGUAAGCUGUCAAGGUCGAUUAUCCCUCCAUAGUUCUUUCUGCGUGUUGUAUAAUCAUCACUGUUUAUAUGGGUUUGGUUGAAGAGCAUACUCUCUCUUAAAUGUGCUUGAGAGUUUUCUUUAUGUGCAUGCACACCAUACCUAGGAGUUACAAAAAACAGGACAUCAAAAUUCCGCAUAACUAGAUACGAAGUGCACAGCGAAAACAUGCUAAAAUGUGACACCACAAAAGAAAUCUUAAAACUCUAAAGUGAUCAACAGAUAGAAUAGUGGUCAUCUUGUUUAUCUAGAUUUCUCAGUUCAUAUUUUAUAUUAGGCUUAAAACAAUACAACACACUUAAAAGAAAGAACAGUAUCGUGAAGAUUGCUUUUCACCAUGAAUGGAUUGGAUGUAAUUUCACAUUCAUUUACCGUGGUUGGAUAUCAGUCCAUGCUGUUUCACUGACACACUGAGGUGAUGUUGGUUCACAAUCCUCAAGAGUAUGAAUCAGGAGACCAUAUUGGCAGUAACCGCAAGCUGUAGUCUGAAACCAGGCCAGAUCAACCCGUAUGCAAUGUGUCUCUAGAGCAGGAUUAGCAUGAGUUUCUAACCAUCUCAAAACAGAAUGAAAAGUUGAUCUCAGACGCCCACGGCGAACAAGGCGUAAUUGAGCAUUUACACCAGCCACCAGUCUGUACCAAGUAGUGGGCGGGACGAGCUGGAAAUGUAAACAAUGACAAAGAAUCAAUGCAACCUUUAACAUAACUGCUAAAACUGCUUACGUAACCUAAAGCACUAACCUGACUCAUCAGACUGGUAAGAAUGUUGUCAUUUUGAAGUGAGAAAGGAGCCAUGUAACUGCCAUCACCACCAAACAAUAUGGGCAUAGGAAACCUUUGAUGAAGCCGAGGUGGAAGGUCCAUCCUUUUUUCAUCCCCACCAAGAAAGAAAUCCAGAUACGCAAGCAUCAAAUCGGAGGUUGCAGCGACCUAUAUUCAAAAAUAUAUAUAAUACUAAAUCUUAUAACAACAAAACCUUGAAGGGAAUGAGAUUUUCUCAAAAUCUGUUGUGUUGAGGAACUAUGGGAUCAAAUAAAUCAUCAAUAAAUUACCUUCAGACCCUCGUAUAAAGCUCGGGAGCGACAGGAGCGUAAACAGGAAUGGUCAUAUUCUGAACGUACAAACUCACGUAAUUUUUGCAACUUCAGCUUCCGCCGCCAUUGCUGCCAUGACCAUGCGAGUGGAUAUGCAACUACUGAAAGAAUACUAUAUAUUGCACCUUCCCACCAUUGAUAUGCAGCUAUAGAGUUGAUUUCGUCGACAAAUGUGUUAAACGCAGCCUCAUAUCUAAAGAACCCAAAACCAAUAUAAGAAUAUUUCAGAGCCAAGGCCACUUAUUAAGUAUCUAUUGACAAAACAAUAUGAACAAUUCUCAAUCUGCUUGAAGAUAAAAUAAGAAACAACUAACACUAUCUCUUUUAUCUCCUCCGGGGGAAUGUGCGAGAGAUGCCACGGCUCACUGAAUGUAUUAGGACCCAUAAAAUACAUUCUAUGCACAUGACUCUGAGAUUGCUCAGCUCUAUUUGUUUCCAACACCUGGCAAAGAAUAACAUUAUAAACAGCAGCACAACACUAUAAUAUAAGGAGUGUCUGGCAGGUUAUUUCACUCAAUCAUGUCUGCUGGACAAACAAUACUUGCAUCUGGGGUGAAACAUCAGCGAAUACUAAAAUCAUUAUUUAGAUCGAAUGUUUACAGACAAAUAAAAUCAUCUAACCUCAUUUAGUGAUUCCAGGAAAGGGAAGGAAUGAUCUAUUUGUGAGCCAUGCUGAGUGGGAGCAGGGCCAGGUAGAUCAUCAACUCCAACAAAUUUCAUCCGUGCAACACUAAGUACAAGUGCUAAGAGGAUGAGGAGACCCAUCAGAAGGAGACCAAACAACCAAGGCCCACCAAAUGUGUAAAUUAACUCCUCGAGCGCGGUGUAACAGUGUGGCAUGUGAUACCUUUCCGAUAUGCAUCGAUAUGGACAUGGUGUCUCAGAAACACCACCUGUGUAGCAAAUUCCAAGGUUUAUAGUUGAGACAUGAGCCUUUCCAGCACCAGUUUACAGGCACUAAAAACCAUAUCAUGAUUUAAAUUUUCAACCACAGUUAAAAUCUACAUACUUGGUAGUUGAAUAACUUAAUCAGAAUCGUGGCAAAAUGAAUAGAAACGAUUUAUUUAGUUGAACGGAAAACAAAACUUGUCACUGAAAGUUAGGAAAAAAGUUAUAGUGCAUAUGUAAUAGACAAUAGCUAAAGAUAUAAGUGGAUGCUAUUUAUACCUCGAACUGGGACAUAGACAGCACGAGUUGGAAGCUCAUCAACAGGACAACGACGACAAAGUGAAGGGUCCGAUCCAGUAACAUUUUUGAAUGUACCAGAUGGGCAUUCCUGAAGAAAAUAAUAGAAUUGUGAAUACAAUGAGCUUCGAAAACUACAGUAGAAAUUCAACUGUGAUAAGGAAACUAAAGGCAAAUAGAAAAAUGUCACCCCUGUGAUCUGACAGAGCAGGAAAGUGUUAAACCGUUUUUUUCCUAACCUUACAAAAUAUACCAUGGAGUCCUUUCGGACAAUCUGUCCCAGUUAUUGUGCCAUUUUUGCCCAAAAACUCAUCAUCCACUGCCGCUCCCCCUCUACGAUUACAAUACAAAAAUUGUAAAUGUGAUAGGCUGGAAAACGAUAUCCAAAAAUAAAUGGAUAUGGGAAAUGCAGUAAAUGACGGGAAACACACAUUAAUUAUCAUGGGAAAUGCAGAGGUAUAUAGAGGACAUACCGUGCAUGAAUUAUUCCUUUUACACUAGCAAUUGGCUGGUAUAUGUCUCCAGUGGGAAUGUUUGACCAAUGAAAAUGAAUCCUCCCACCUCCGCCGCCACCACUACCAGCAGGACUGCCAGACCCACCACCACUUGAGAGAAGAGACGACUCUCCUAACAUAAGAUAACGCAGGAACAAAAGGACUGUUCCACCAGAACCACCUCCAGGUGCUUGAAUAGACCCGUUUUCAUCUCUACUCAAACGUUUGACACUUUCUCCAUCAACCCUAAUAGAGCCUUCAAGUGAUAAACCAGAUAGAGGUUGCUCCAUCGAACCAAUCACUGACCAGAUUCAAAGGAAAAGAGAGAACAGUUUAAACGGUUUUAUCUUGAAAGCAAUAAGCUCUCAGAGCAACCACAUGUAAGCACGGUAGUGUAUGGACUAAAUAAUGUCAAGAUUCUACAACGUUUAACGGGCUACGAACCAUACACUUGUAAUAAAAUUACAAUGUAUAAUUUGCAAAUAUUUGACACAUGAAAUAUGAAUAUAGUCAUUAGAAGCUUGACUACAUCAGACAUUUGCAUCAAGUCAUACGAUGACACAACCUAUCCUCUCAAGUUUAAUGGAGCAGAAUCAAUCAAAUUUUCUGACGUUUCAUACCUACAAUACCACCACCAGCAGAUGAAUAACCAGGGCUAUAAUCACCACUUCCACUGCCAAGCUCACAAGGGAGAUUUGCAUUUCCAUAUGUAAUUCCACCUUCAACACAGCUGUUAUUGUAACAUACACGCCCCCCCUUACCACCAUGCCCACCACCACUGCCAAUGCCAUUUCCGAGCAAUUUACCUUCACCUACACCACCUCUACAACCUGUGAAACACAUUUAAACAUAUGUAUGUUUUUACGAAACAUAUUAAAAGAACGUAGGAUCAUAUCUUCUUUCUCCCUAUACGGAGGUAGCACCUUAAAUCGUAUAUUGAGGGAGUAGGCCCAGGACAUGCCCAUAAGAAAUGUAAAAGUCCAAAAGUAUAUAGUUAUUGUUACCCAUUCCACUGGCACUAAUCUCCCCAGAGGUUUCAAGGGUUACAGUUUUUGCUCGGUGGAAAUGAACUACUGAUCCUUUAAUGAAACCUUCGACAAGAAUAUCCUCAACUCGGCAUAUCUAGAAAGAAAGAAAGUUACCAGACUUAUCAUGCAAGAUCUUAAAAUACUAGUUAAAGAAAGGUAGAAAUACCUGUAGGGUAAAGGACAAAGAUGAAUUGACAUUGCAAUCCUCUGGAGGAUUCAGUAGUUCAUAAGGGCAAUCUUGCCGUUCACAAUAGAGCUUUGGGGUACUGCAAAGGAUGGGAGUUCAAAUAUUGUUAGCUGUUUAUAUAUCCGAUGAAUAAUGCAAUCAAACUACGUAUAGAUGGCAUUUUCCUUCAAACUCACACAGCAUCUCGGGACGCAUUCUGCAGAGGAGCACGCAAAAUGGACCCAGGCCCGACCUUCAAAUGCCAGGGAAAAAAAAAUCAGUAACUCCUACAUGGCUAAAUCAAAUACCUUUCUAUAUCUGCUAUAUUAAAGCCAAUAGGGACUUUAAAGGAGACUGAUUGUCAAAUUAUGCCUGUAUCGUCACAUUUUCAGAGCUAACAGACACUAUCUUUGAUUCUGCACAAAAUACAGGAUGUAACCCAAUGCAGGAUUGUUACCAAACUAACACACUGACUUACAUAAAUCCGGUAAAACAGUGACAAAACAAGCCGUUGUGCUUCAAUCGAAUCCCCUGGUCCGGUUAGAUUCAAGAAACCUUGUCCAUGGACUCCAAGAUUUGCAUUUGAGCGGAUGACAGAUGAUCCCUAUAUUUAGAUAGAGAGGUCAUACAAACAAAUUAGAUGCCUCGGUAUGUCACAAAUUACUUGAAGAAGAAAAACAAUGACAUGAAUUAGUGAGUACCCUAAGAACGAAUAAAUUGCUAGCCUCAAGUAUGGAAGUCGCAACACUUGGAUCUCCCCCUCCUCCAUCUAUAUGCAAUUCUGAAUUCCACAUCAAGAACAUCUUGACAGUCAUUCUUAAUGCCCCAUAGACCUGGUACAUACCAAUAAACAUAAACAUAAUGAACAAGUGAUUCACAUGAAUACCAAAAUAGAUUAUGGAGUAUGACAAAAGGCCAGGUAAACCAAGAAUGAAGCAGAUAUUAGAAACACAAAGAAAUAUUUAUAUCUGGCAUAGACGGAUACAGUGCUGUGUCGCUAUUGCCGAAAAAAGUGGAGAAUCAGGAUAAGAAUUACCUUGAUAGUAGAAUCACUCAUUAAGAGUUCUUCCGCCAAUAACUCAAAUACUGAUGUACCAUAAUGAGCUAAGCCAAAGCUCAAAACACCACCACACAAUAAACUAAUUUGUCCUUGAACCUACAUAAUGAGUUCUGUUUGAGUACUACGUCUUCAAUUAUGCAAAAUAAUAUGCUGAAACACAGGAGAUUCCACUAUAUACUUUUAAGAAACGUAUAUAGAGUAGAAAAAAGGAUACUAGAGUGGCAGAAAGAAAAUAAACAAAGCCUCACAGAUUGUGGUAAUAUAAACAUAGCAAGGUGAUAAAUCAGUUUGUCUACAAAGAGUACUGAAAAUUAUUUUCGACAUACCUGGACACGACUCCAUAACAGAGGACAAGUUGCUCGCGCUUUAUCCUGAAUAUAAACAUUGGUCCAAAGUGGCUGGAAAGGAAAUUCUAAGAGAAGCGUAUAAGUGUCUGUCGUCAUGUUGUAGUUGCUCACGAAUAGGCUUCGGGGAACAGCAUCAUAUAGCGUCCCAGCAGCACCUGCGUUAUCUGGACAACCGAUACUAUAUCCGCCUGUGUAUAGGAAGAAUAAGAUCAGUUCACAUGAUUGUAGAUGUUAGGCAAGUACGUAUUGGAUAUAGUGGCUCAAAACAAAAACAAAAAUUAGAUAAAAUGUGCAGAUGUAAAGAAGCUAACCAUGCACAAAGAUCUUUGGGUCAUCAUGCCUGCUAAAGAUAUCGACAGAUACUCUUCCACCACCCCCACCACCAUAACCACUCCCACCACAUGCACUGAUCAGUCCAAUUCCAGUCCUGCACUUCACAGAACAGCAAAGCAGAGGAUGCUAGCUGAGAUCAAUUUAUCAAGAAUCUAAGAAGACAAAAGCCUCACUACCACCCAUUAAAAUUAGCAAAGACAAUGAAUUGUUCACGUGUACCAUACAACAGCAAACAACACAUCUUGAAGAAUUAGGAGCAAGAUCUAAAAUCUUUCAAAAGUAAUGUCAUAAACAAGAUCAUCACUUAAUCGCAUAUUUCCAAUUGAAAACAGAAACUCAUAUGCACAGUACUAGAAAUUUUUACUGUGAAAGGAAACUGCAAUUGUGUUUCAUAUCUCAAAACUCGACUUGCCCUACGCUAGGAUUAUGAUCUUGAGAAACAAUCAGGACCAAACAAGUAUUGCAAAGUUUGCCUUCUCAGCUGCCUAGAAAGAUCUAAUAUAUAUGCCUUUAAUCAAAUCGAAUAGCUAGUGAAAGAGAGCAUAGAAACGAAAGUUCAUUACAUCUUGUAUGCCUUGAUGUAGAUGCUGCCCCCAGCCCCACCACCGCCUUUUGCUCCUCCAUAACCUCCAUUUGCCAAAAUGCUUCCGUUAACAUCCAGAAGCUGCAGAAUAUCCAUCUUCACUUUCCCACCUCCUCCUCCUCCAUAAUCAAUCUCUCUGCUCGUUGACCCUCCUUUACUACCAUAGCUCCACGGCCUCUGCAGAGUGGACCACGAGUAUGCAUCACCUCCCCACACAUCUUCAGGGAGCUUCUUAGUGUCAGUCAAACAGCAAGCGCCUCUACCACCAUGUCCACCACCAGCACCAUCAAUCCCCUGCGGCGUCCCACUAGUCUGUGGCGGAGGGUUCCCAGCUAAUCCCGUGGUGUUCACAGCCGACCCGUUAGCAAAACUAGCAUUACCAGCUGAAAGCUCCAAUGUUCCAGCGACAAUUGUAGAUUCCGCACCCAAAGAAAAGUUUCCAGAAACAUUGAUAGCUAUAGAGCAACCAGGGAAUGGACAGUGAAACUUGACACCAGGCAGGAUGAUAAAAUUACCCUUCCCAGCUAUAUACACAUCGUGCGUAAGGUUCAAAUCGGCGACAAUCUUACAAGUGGUAUCCAAAAACCCAACGCCGCCGAGAUCCUCGUUACAAGAUACCGACGGUCCGUGCGGUGGUGGCGGUGGUGGAGCAGGCGGAGAGUAAUCCUGAUGGAAAAGCAACGACUCUGAAUCGGAGUCCAAAUUCGAAUCAGAACCCGAAUUCGGUUCCACAAUGGUAAAUCGAUAGCUUGAACUAGGGUUUACGGCCAAAACCGCAACAAGGACCAAGGAGAAGACGAAUUGGAAAUGAAAUCGAGCCAUCCACUAGUAUCAAUAGUCAUCACAGACGAAGUCAAGUAAGGUUUUCGAUUCGACCCCAAUUCGGGUCAUUGAGCAAUAGAGGUUGAAGAACUGAUGAAAUCAAAACAAAAACCCAAAUUCACAAAACCAACCCUCUCUUCUGUUCUAUCUCCACCACACGACACUUAUGACUUAUGCAUAAAUCAACAUAGGCAUGAAUGCGUUUUCAGUCGUCUUGUUGAAGAAGAAGAAGAUAUGAAGAAGAAAAAGCGCAUAAACAUUCAGCGUAAAAUGGGACUCUUUAGAGAGAGAAGUGGUGCUUUUCCUUUCUCGGAGGAGAGAGAAAGAGAGGGAAGGGGGAGCUUCCAAGAAGAAAGAAACACAGGUUGGAACGGAGAGUUGUUAGGAUCAGGUACGUGCGACUUCACUGUAAUCAGCUAGAUUUUAGCUAAUCGUCUUUCGCCACGUCAUUUAUUUAGAUUGCUCCAAAAGGCAACGCUGCUGUGCAUCGUGGUUCACAUGGACUGGAUGUGUCAGCGGUAUCUGAAUUUAUUUUCUUACCGAAUCAAAUUGCGACACAUGUCGUGUUACGUUUAAUUACUGGAUUUGCUGUUGGAUUAAGUAGUUAAUUAAUGACGUCUUGGCUUUUAAAAUUUAAAAGUUUAAACCGUCAGGAAUUACGUUCGGACAGUUAAAGGUGCCCGUUUAGAAUUGGGCUUUGAUGGGCCAUGUUUCUUCCCAUGGGGUACAUAAACACGCGCCAAGCUUUGAGCGUGCGAGUGUUUGAUUUUGGAGAAACAACAAGAGAAUGCUAAGUAAAAAACAAAUUUAAACAAAUCUGGCUGGCCCAAUAGAAAACUAGCAGCAUUAUCAUCACCAAUUUAAAAAAAAAAAAUCAUCGAAACCAAUCUUUUAAUCAGUUCGAUUUUUACGUUAUGGAAUCUGGAUCACAACCCCCUCAUUGUUUGAAAUGGAGAAUGGUAUGUAUAUAUGCUUCAGGGUAUUGGUGUGUAUGCUAACAGCUUAUAGCUUCAAAAACAUCUGAAAUGUUUCUUGAUGAGGAUGUAUUACAUGGGACAUGGCUUGGGAGUUGGGAAGACUAUGUUUAGAGUAAGAGAUUGUGCAUGGUCAACAUAGACCAAUCUAAACUAGUGGGAUACGUAUAUAAUUUGAUAUUACGUGAAGUAAUUGAUUGGUAAGUUUGGUAAAAACAAAUGCAAUUUGACUUACGUAUGACUCAUCAUGCUGACUUCUUCAAUAAGACAAUAAGUACACUUAAUUUAGAGAAAUAUGUCAGCUAUGAUCUUAUCUGACCAGUAUCCAACCGGGUUAUUUUUGCCUAGUCGUUGUCUUAGUAUAUUUGGAUACAAAUUUGACUUAUCCCGUUCUCCGUAACCAAAAUCUAUCUUAUGUUAAUGCUCUUUGUAUUAAUGGAAUGGAAUGGAAUGAGAGAACUUAUGGACACGAUGAAACGCUUCAAAGGAUACAAACGCAAAACAAGUGAAAAUGAUUUUGGUUAAUCGUCUUAUCAUAUCACAUUGUCCUAACAAAUCACAGAAAGAACCAAAUCACAUUGUCCUAAGUUUCUAACUAAUCACCUUAUACAUUGAAUGGUUCGUGGACAAUGUGGUUCUUAAUUCUUUUAAAUGACCCCAAAAAAAAAAACAAGGAUGAUGAUCCAAAGGGGUAAUAGAAAACCACCCAAUACGGCCAUGAGUUUCGGAUGAUGCGGAUCAGCUACGGUCAGCUCGAGAGUUACCCAAUAAAUUCACAGUUAAUUUUUUUUUACGGCUUAAAAAACACAAUUACGCGAAAAUUCGGUUUCUAGGUGCCACUUUUUGUUGUUGUUGUUGUGAUUACUUUUCCUUAAGGGAAAAAAAAAAAAAAACUCAUAAAACAAAACAAAGACGAGCUCAUCUUUCCCUGAUCAGAUCUAAACUUCUCCUCGCACCCAAAUUUUGCCAGCUUUCGUUUCUCUGUUCUUAACAUUUUCGCGAAUUCAAAAAUGGAUUUCAUGAAGGUCUUCGAUCAAACGGUUCGAGAGAUGUGGGUUUGCCGUUUCGUCUUGUCUAUUCUCCUUCUUCGAUUUCGAUCCAAAUCCGUAGAUCUUUUUUGGUUUUAUCGUUUUUUUUUUUGCCGACUGAUCUCGUUGAGUUUUCAAUUUCAGAAAGAGGGAGGUGAAUCUGAAAGUUUUGAAGGUCCCUGAGAUGGAGCAGAAGGUGAAUUCAUUUGAUUCGUAUCUAUUAUAUGUGCAAAAUGAUUGAGAACUUUCUCUAGUGUUAGCUAGAAUCAUGAUGUCUCUGCGAAGUAAAGAGUUACUAGUCCUCAACAGCUGAGCUCGAUUUAUUACGUUUCUGUUUCCGGAUGCUGUAUCCGAGAUUAGAUCCACCUUUGGGACUAAGAAAUCUCGAGUUCCUAUUCAAUGAAUAUACAAUUUAAGCUUGAGCGUUGAUGUUUAUAUUAGAUAAGUUUUGUAAGGUUUAAGUUGGUGGCUAUGCGUAUUGUAGUUUUGUAAGGUUUAAGUUAUGUGUUGAUGUUUAUAUCCUCGUUUCCUGGAUUCUCAGUUUCAUCAUGUCUUCAAUUUCACUUUGUUCAUUUCGACUCCUGUGUCUAUGUUUAGUACAGGUAUUGGAUGCUACGGAUAAUGAGCCUUGGGGUCCCCAUGGUACUGCAUUGGCAGAGAUAGCACAGGCCACGAAGAAAUUGUAAUCUCUGCCUUCAUUUUCUUUCAUGAGUCCUUUUUUUUUUUGGGUAUGAUUUUACACGGUAAGAGUUUUGAUUUUAAAAUGCUUAACAUGUGCGUUUGGAAUAUGAUUAGCUCGGAGUGCCAGAUGGUUAUGAGUGUUUUGUGGACUAGACUUACUGAGACAGGAAAAGAUUGGCGAUAUGUCUACAAGGUGAAAAAUCUUCUUGACGUUUUUGCAGUAUUUGGAAGUUUACUGUAUAUAUUUUUAGUGUAACCUGAGUUUUUUUUGUCUACCAGGCAUUAGCUGUCAUCGAUUAUCUGAUUUCAAAUGGAUCGGAACGAGCUGUUGAUGAGAUUAUUGAGCAUACUUACCAAAUAUCUGUCAGUUUAUCUUUCUUACACACUGAUUUUGGUUCUCUCAGGGUGGAUAUUGUAAUUUUUCUAUUGACAUGGUGUUUGUUUUGUGAUUUGCCAUCCAUGUAGUCUCUCACGAGUUUUGAGUAUGUUGAACCAAAUGGAAAAGAUGUGGGCAUCAAUGUGAGAAAGAAGGCAGAAAACAUAGUCGCUCUCUUGAAUAAUAAAGAGAAAAUCUCAGAAAUCAGAGACAAAGCAAUAGCAAAUCGUAACAAGUUAGUGUUUAUACAACUGCAUAUUCGGUUUGCCUUUUCUUCUUUAAACGUUGCAUUUAUCGGGUUAUGUUGCCUCCAAUCAGGUACGUUGGACUCUCAUCCACGGGGAUAACAUAUAAAUCUGGUUCAGCUUCAGCAUCAUUUGGUGGUAGUUUUCAAAGUGGUUCAAGCAAUUAUGACAGCUACAAGGAUAGGGAUUCCAGAGAAGACAAAAAUGACUACGAGUCUUUUCAAAAGUCAAGGCGCGGUGUUAAAAGUGACGAGCAAGGCUUUACUUCAAAGAAGAGUUUUUCACGCUAUGGCAGGUUUUAUGUCAACCCCUUUCAUUUCUGAUGUUACGUUCGUUACAGAUUUUGAAUAUAUUUCAAUUUGUGAGUUUUAUUUCCCAGAUGAGGCUGCUUGUUUCCUUUUAUCUUCUUGUUUCUGUUUUCGUUUACGACUCAUUUUGUGUUUUUUUUUUUCUGAUGUAGAGUAACUUACUUUUUCAUUAUUGCUCAAUUUAGUUCAAUUUUGAAUGUGCAGCACGGACCAUGAUAAUCUAUCCACUGGAAAAAAGUCACCCGACUCUGCCAAGUAUAGUUCACAUGUGUCUGCAGCACCUUCAAACAACGAUGAUGAUUUUGAUGAUUUUGAUCCACGUGGAACUUCCAGCAAUAGUAUGUUUUUUUCUAGACUGCUGAGCUUUCAGAUUGUUUAUCAUUUAUUGGACAUUUAAUUAGUUUGAUAACUUAUAGGGAACAACAUGUAUAUAUGAUAGAUGAAAGUCAUGUCUUAUCUGUAUCGGUUUCGUUUUGGCAGAGCCAGCCGCAGGCAGUGCUAACCAAGUGGACCUUUUUGGAGGAGAUCUGAUUGGUGACCUCUUGGAUUCUGGGCCAACAGAAACAUCCACCACCAACAACAACGAGAAAUUUCAAGAUGCGGACUUGUUUGCUGAUGCAACUUUUGUAUCAGCCUCGGCUCAGGGAACAGGAUUUGGUUCACAGUCACCGGUGGGCAACUUCUUCCAUCUAAGCUAGUAUAAGGCUUUAAACAAAUGAAAAUUUCCUUAUUAACGUUCUAUCUGAUUCAAUUCUGCACUGCUUGACAAACAUGCUCAGUUUUCGUUGUUGAAGUUAUAACGCGUCAUUAUGAAUUGUGCUAUUGAAUCAUAGACUGAUAUGUCUCCCCAUGUCUGUUUCUACAGAAAGAAGUUGAUCUUUUCUCUGCGUCUGAACCUUCUGUCACAGUUUCUUCAGCUCCUCCGACAGUUGAUCUUUUUGCAUCUCCCGAAUCCAUUGCACGCCCAGAAGCCAAUAUAUCUAAACCUGAGUCUAUGACCACUCCCAACAUUGUUGACCCAUUUGCUGCAGUUCCAAUGGAUAAUUUUGAUGGAUCUGAUCCUUUUGGUGCCUUCACUUCCCACUCGGCUUCAGCCUCUACAGGUCCACAGGCUCCAAAUGUACAAGGGAGUGCAGCAAACACUACAAGCCCGAUGUCUUUGGCAGACUCGAAGCCACAACACUUGCAAAAGAAAGAUCCUUUCCAAGUGAAAUCUGGAAUUUGGGCAAAUUCUCUGAGCCGUGGACUGAUUGAUCUCAAUCUAACUGCUCGUAAGUCAAAACUUCCCCCUUCAUCCAGAACUCUAUCAUGUGCCAUGCACUAGUAUGUGGUAGUGAACUAUUAAGAAAAUUGUAUUUUUCUCAUUAGAUGCAGAUAAAACUGAACAGGUAUAGUUGGUCAAUUACAUUCCAACGAAUUGUCAAAUAGUUGAUUAAACCACUCAAACUUCUUCGGUCAUAUAGAAUUUCAAUACCAUGUACCUUGACUUUGCAUUGUGUCAAGACAAAUAAAUGGUCGGGUUUAACUUUCUAAGUGCGAUCUCAGUCCUGACUAUUUGGUUUUCCUUGUAAUCAGCCAAAAAAGCUUCUCUAGCUGAUGUGGGCGUGGUGGGUGGUCUGAGCAAUGAUGAAGGUAACAAAGCAUCUGCUGCUUCGUACUACUCAGGCUGGUCCAUGGGUGCAGGAUCAGGGCUCGGUAAAACUGGUCUAUACAGUACACAGCAGCAGCAGCAACAACAAGCACAUGAUAUCUCAGAUGAUUUCUUCUCCAGCCUCAGUAACCAAAACUACCAAUCUGGAGGCUUUAAGUAGUGAAUUUGUCCGGGAUAUUCGUAUUGAGACGGAAAAGGCAUAUCAGGUUUGAGUCUACAUUCAAUACUGGAAAUCUAAGUAAUAUUUUUUUUUAAUUGGCUUGUUGUUCUUGCACUUCAUUCAUGAGACGAUCUGGUCGGUGGCUGAUGUGCCAUUGUUGUUGUGGCAUUUACUUUGGGUUUAAAUGAGAGAUAAGAAGAGAUAAGAAUUGUCUAUGGUUUUUGAUAAGAGAGUAUUAUUAUUGGGUUUAAGUUUUGUUUUGUUCAUACAAAAUAAAUGUAUCUGAGUAUCUCGUCCGACUCUUCAAAGAUUUUUGCUAUCGUGUGUGAUUCUUAAUCCAAAGAGACUCCAACGUUCUUCUUAAUUAUGUUUUCUGAUUUUAUUCAGAAACUGCGUACACAUUGACGUAAGUUCAUAUCUUAAUGAUUAUGUUUAAGACUAAUCUUAUUACACUAUUUAGUUAACUUGUCACGAAUGACUUAAAAUAUAGGUUAAUCUUAUUUACAAAGAAAAUGAUUAAAUUGGAACAGAAAGAAAGAAAAAAAACUAGUCCAACACAAAAAUAAAAAAUGUCAUCUCUUCACUGGUUUACCAAUAUCGUCUUCGUCGUUGUCGUCUUCUGCUCCACGAGUUUAGCUUCACCCUUACAUGGAAGCUCACAGGUUGUACUAGAAGAAGAAACCACAGUAGUAGGAUACGGCUACGUCGUUAGAUCAGUGGCUGUUGAUUCCAAUGAGAAGCUUUUGACGGCGAAUCUUGACCUGAUCAAACCGUCGUCCGUUUACGCACCGGAUGUGAAAUCGCUUAGUCUUCAUGCCAGGUCCUUAUAAUCUUCUCCGUUCUUCUCUCACUCUUAGCAAUAUAUCUAAUUUGGCAAGUUUUUUAAAGUUAUUUUAAAUGUGCGAUAAUUAAGGAAAGUUUUAUGAUUGUUUGGUAUAUAUUAUAUGUGCAGCUUGGAGACGAGUGAGCGUUUGAGAAUCAGAAUCACAGAUUUUAGUCAACAAAGAUGGGAGAUACCGGAAAAUGUUAUUCCUCGCGCCGGAAACCACUCUCCUCGCCGUUUCGUAACGGAGGAAGUAGACGGAGGAAACUCGCCGGACAGCAAUUUCUUAACAGAUCCAUCAUCGGACUUAGUUUUCACACUCCACAACACCACGCCUUUCGGUUUCUCCGUCACCCGACGCUCCUCCGGCGAUAUCCUCUUCGACACUUCGCCGGAUCAAUCAGAUCCGAGCACUUACUUCAUCUUCAAAGACCAAUUCCUUCAACUAUCUUCCGCGUUACCGGAAAACAGAUCGAAUCUGUAUGGUCUCGGGGAGCAAACCAAGCGAUCGUUCAGGCUAAUCCCGGGUGAUACUAUGACUAUGUGGAACGCCGACAUCGGUAGCGAGAAUCCGGAUGUUAACCUUUACGGAUCGCACCCGUUUUACAUGGAUGUAAGAGGAUCAAACGGUCAUGACGAAGCAGGGACGACUCACGGCGUUUUGUUGCUGAACAGCAAUGGAAUGGAUGUGAAGUAUGAAGGACAUCGGAUUACUUACAGUGUGAUCGGAGGAGUCAUUGAUCUCUAUGUGUUCGCUGGACCAUCACCUGAAAUGGUGAUGAAUCAGUACACAGAGCUUAUUGGAAGACCUGCUCCUAUGCCUUACUGGUCAUUUGGUAAGAGACAUUGUGCUGUUGCAUUUUGUUUGCUUAAAAGUUAGUCCAUAGCAUUAUCAGAUAAUAUACUUGUUUGUGUGGAUUGAGAUGUGCGUUUUGCUUUGAUUUUGUGAAGGAUUUCACCAAUGUAGGUAUGGCUACAAGAAUGUUUCAGACCUCGAAUCUGUAGUUGAUGGAUAUGCAAAAGCUAGAAUACCUCUUGAGGUUAUGUGGACAGACAUUGAUUACAUGGACGGCUACAAAGACUUCACUUUGGACCCCGUAAAUUUCCCAGAGGACAAGAUGAAAUCAUUUGUGGAUACACUUCAUAAGAGUGGUCAGAAAUACGUGCUGAUCUUGGAUCCCGGUAACAACCAUAUACUAUCUCUUGUCUGUAGAGUCUUUAACAAAUUGAUUUUACAAGAUGAAAAUAUUGGGUUUACGUGUAGGUAUUGGUGUGAACAGAUCUUACGGGACUUAUAAUAGAGGGAUGGAAGCAGAUGUUUUCAUAAAGCGAGAUGGUGAGCCUUAUCUCGGUGAGGUUUGGCCCGGAAAAGUAUACUUCCCUGACUUCUUGAAUCCAGCUGCUGCAACUUUCUGGAGCAAUGAAAUCAAGAUUUUCCAGGACAUUCUCCCUUUGGAUGGUCUGUGGAUUGACAUGAAUGAGUUAUCAAAUUUCAUAACUUCACCUCUAACCCCUGGAUCUUCACUCGAUGAUCCUCCUUACAAGAUUAACAAUUUUGGGGACAACGCGCCAAUAAACAACAAGACAGUUCCCGCAACAGCUAUCCAUUUUGGAAACGUUAGUGAAUACAAUGCGCAUAACUUGUAUGGCCUGUUGGAAGCUAAAGCCACUCACCAGGCUAUAGUGGAUGUAAUGGGAAAGAGACCAUUUGUUUUGUCGAGAUCCACGUUUGUAAGCUCCGGAAAGUACACGGCUCACUGGACUGGUGAUAAUGCUGCAAAAUGGGAGGAUUUGGCUUACUCAAUCCCUGGAAUUCUCAACUUUGGUCUGUUUGGGAUUCCUAUGGUUGGAGCUGAUAUAUGUGGUUUCUCACAUGAUACCACCGAGGAACUAUGUCGUCGAUGGAUCCAGGUAGAGUGAUUAUUUCUCAGACACAACCUGUAGACUUUUUCCUGAGUUCGUAAUCUAACGUUUGCUCUUAGAUUAUCAGCUUGGAGCUUUUUACCCUUUUGCAAGAGACCAUUCGUCCCUUAAUACCGCCAGACAAGAAUUAUACCUCUGGGAGUCUGUUGCUUCUUCUGCAAGAAAGGUUCUCGGCCUCCGUAUGAGACUGCUCCCACAUCUCUAUACACUGAUGUAUGAGGCUCACGUUAGCGGCAUCCCGAUCGUGAGACCACUCUUCUUCUCGUUCCCUCAAGACACUAACACUUACGAAAUUGAUUCACAGUUCUUGAUCGGUAAAAGCAUAAUGGUUUCUCCGGCGCUGGAGCAAGGAAAGCUGACGGUAGAUGCAUAUUUCCCUGCCGGAAACUGGUUUGAUCUUUUUAACUAUUCAUUUGCCGUCGGUGGAGCUUCUGGCAAGCACGUUAGGCUUGACACUCCCGCAGAUCACGUGAACGUUCAUGUUCGAGAAGGUAAUUAAAUAGUAUGUUCUUUGAUAGCUACUUCUGAAAUGAAACUGGAGUUGAGCUUGAACAGAUUUUGGUUUAACUUGUAAAUAGGUAGUAUUGUGGCUAUGCAAGGAGAGGCAAUGACAACUAGAGACGCCAGAAAGACACCGUAUGAGCUUCUAGUUGUAGCCAGCCGGCUUGAGAACAUAUCCGGCGAACUGUUUCUGGAUGACGGGGAAAAGAUACAGAUGGGAGAGGGAGGAGGAAACCGUGAUUGGACUCUCGUGAAGUUCCGGUGCUACGUAACAGGGAAAUCGGUGGUACUGAGAUCAGAAGUGGUGAACCCAGAGUACGCUUCGAGAAUGAAAUGGAGCAUAGGGAAAGUGACAUUUGUUGGGUUCGAGAACGUAGAGAGCGUGAAAACGUACGAGGUGAGGACAGGUGAGAGAUUGAGAAGUCCGAGAAUCUCGCUAAUCAAAACGGUUAUGGACGAUGAUGAUCCGAGGUUUCUCAGUGUGGAGGUUUCAAAGCUGUCGUUGCUUGUUGGGAAGAAGUUCGAGAUGAGAUUGAAAUUGACUUGAACAAGUACUAAACCCAAAUAUUGAUGAUAUAAACUCUGGAUGCUUAAUGAAUAAAGGGUGUAAAGAAGAGUGAUAUAUAAAGAUUUAAGAAUAAUGUCAUGCGAUCCAAUUACUUUGUAUUAUUGUACAGAAGGAUACAUACCAGGUUCAAAAUUCGUGUAUCAUAAAUAUUGUAUUUUUCCCUUCUCCUUUUCACUUCGUUAGUAUUUUCUGUUCAUUAUAAAUCAACCAAAUUGCAGUCUUCAAAAUUUUUGAACCAUCUGCACAUGUUGCCAUGUGGGGUUUGCCGGAAAAAAAAAAAAAAAAAAAAAGAGAGGAGCAUAUUUUUUUAUUUUUUAUUUUUUAUUUUUUUUUGUCAAAAGAGAGGAGCAUAUUUGUGCCACUUUGACCACUUUUUUCCUUUUGCUAAUAUACCGCCAUGUUUGUGCCCACAAUUUUUCUGAAUUCUCACUAAUUGUCAUUGACCUCGUUAACUCAAAUUUCAAAAUAAUUAAUUAACAUAAUAAACUUACAAAUUACAAUUCGAAAUUAUCCUUAUUGGUUGAUAAAUAUCCUUAAACGCGUUUAAAAUUAAUUACCAAACCAGAAGAAGAAAAAAAAUGAAUGUUAUGGUCCCAUUCUAAUAUACACACACACACACAAAAAAGAGUCGACGGUACAACAGCGGUCUUGUCUAGUACGCAAAAACAGUUUCGGCGUCUUCCUCACAUUACUUUUCUCAAUCAAUACCGUCUUCUCCUCUCCAUCCAUUAUCUCUCUCUCUCUCCCUCACGGAUUCGUAACUUCUUCUCAGUGCUUCUCCGUCAUCUUCGCAUUAUUGAUUCUUACUUUUUCCCUGUAAGCUCGACACGUGGAUUGUUCCCCUGCUUUUUCUUUUGUUUUUUUUUGCCUCUUUUCGUGAAGAUUCGUUUCCUGUAUCUGUGCAGACUUGCAAUGGAGUAAGUUUCCUAAAUUAGCUCGGCUCUAGAUCCUAGUUUCUUUAAUUAGCUUGUCCGGUGAAGGAAUUAGUGACUGGAUCAACUAGAUACUAUCGAUUCCGUAUGCUGCGGCUUUCGAUUUCGUGGAUUUGUAUUUGGAAAUUUUGCCGAUUUUUCUGAUUCUGUCCUGCUGGUAAAGGUCUCGUGAUUAGCGGAGGAGAUCUGGAGUUCUUAGUUUUAGGAUCUUACGAGCGAGCAAUUGUUGACUUUUGAUUUUGCCACAGUUUUAUUCACGUGUGUAGGCUUAGUUGAUUCAGAUUCAAGUUAGAAGCAGAAUCAGAAUCUGCAAAUACCUGUUGUUUUAGAAACUAUAGAGAUGCAGACUAGGGUUGUACAGUUGGAAGAAGGGAAAGAAACUGGAAUCACGGUUAGAACAGGGCAGUACAAGGCAUUUCCUUCGAAGCUGCUUCUUCUGCUAGGCUUUUUUCUUGCUUUUGCUAUUACUGUCUUCAUCAUUAGUGUAUCUACUAUCAAGUAUACUGGAAUACAAAGUGUAGUGACCACAGUGACUUCGAGCUUUGUGCCAUGCCGUGAGGAUGAACCCAGUGGUUUUAGUCAAUGGAUACUACCUCCUGCUGUUCUGAUGCAUAAUAUGAGCGACGAAGAGCUCCUUUGGCGCGCUUCUUUUUGGCCUCGGAGAAAAGAAUAUCCCUUUAAAAGGGUUCCAAAGAUUGCGUUUAUGUUCUUGACUAAAGGCCCCUUGCCGCUUGCUUUGCUUUGGGAGAGGUUUUUCAAGGGUCACAAUGGGCUUUACUCGGUUUACCUUCAUCCACACCCAUCUUUUACAGCCAAGUUUCCAGCUAACUCUGUUUUCCACCGGAGGCAGAUACCCAGCCAGGUCUGGUUCUUUUAUUUCUCUUCUGUUUACAUGGAUACCAGUUUCAUAUGGUAUGAGAAACUGGAGCUCCUGGACCAAACUUGGUUUCUAUAGAAGCCUCUUUGGCAUUGCGUAUUUACUCCAUACAGCCUUUUUGGAUGCCAUGUAGUCAUCGCUCUUGAAGUAUUAUUGUUGAUUAAGUGAUUAGUUGGAUUACCAAUCACAUAAACUAUCAGAAAAUAUAACUCUAGAAUCAAAUUGGUGGUUUCUUUAGUAGCCUUUUGUUCAAGCAGUUCUUCAGAUUGCUUUGAAUCUAAUUGGUUAUGUAUCUGAUUUUAUUGUUGUAUCAUUGUGCAGGUUGCAGAAUGGGGGAGAAUGUCCAUGUGUGAUGCAGAGAAGCGGCUUCUCGCCAAUGCGCUGCUUGAUAUCUCCAACGAAUGGUUUAUUCUAGUCUCAGAGUCAUGCAUUCCACUCUACAACUUCACAACCAUCUACAGCUACUUAAGCCGAUCAAAACACAGCUUCAUGGGUGCUUUUGAUGACCCUGGACCGUAUGGGCGCGGCCGCUAUAACUCGAACAUGGAACCAGAAGUCCCCAUUACCAAAUGGCGAAAAGGGUCUCAAUGGUUUGAGAUUAACAGGGACCUAGCAGCUACCAUUGUCAAAGACACAUUGUAUUACCCGAAAUUCAAAGAGUUUUGCAGACCCGCUUGCUAUGUGGACGAGCAUUACUUCCCGACAAUGCUGACAAUUGAGAAACCAGAGGUCUUGGCUAACCGGAGCUUGACAUGGGUGGACUGGUCGAGGGGAGGGCCCCACCCUGCCACGUUUGGGCGAUCUGACGUUACAGAGAAUUUCUUUGUAAAGAUCUUUGAUGGAAGAAACUGCACUUACAAUGGGCGCAACACUUCCAUGUGCUAUCUUUUUGCGAGGAAGUUUGCUCCGAGUGCUCUGGAGCCUUUGCUUAGCAUUUCUCCGAAGAUUCUUGGAUUUUGAGUAGUUUAGUAAUGUCUCUGAACCUCUUAGACAUCAAAUAGAGAACACGGAAUGGGUGAGAUAAUGGAUUCUAUGGGAGAUUAUACGCCGAUAUUAUUUUAUUUUGUUUGUUGUGAUGUAAGUUGGGAAGAAAUGAGGUAUUAGUAGAGAGAACUCUAGGUUGCUCAACCACAACAGGAGCCAAGUCAUAUGUAACUUUAUAUUUUUAAAGAAUUACUACUAUGCUAUGCAUAGAUCAUUUUUUCUUCCGGAUAGUCUUGGAACAUUAGUUGUCCGAUGCACGAAAUAGGACAGGUUUAUUAUAUAUACGCAAGUGUCAUUGAAUCAGAUUUGUUUGUCUAAUGUUUUUUCUAAUGUUAUCGUCUCUAACUCAUUUUGAAUCAGGUUAGAAAAACGAACAAACCUUUCUUAACAUGGAUAUGUAUAUAGAGUAAUCUUAGUCUUGGUAAAUUGCUUACCGACCUACAAACUAAAAAGAAAGAAAGAAAGAAAGAAAAAUUGCUUACCGACCAAGAUAUUGCUUAGAAUGUGAAACCAGUAGACUAGAUAACUAAAUGACAAUGGGAACAAACCAGAGCCAGGUGGAGAACACACUUUUACACCUAAUCGAAGGUUCUCGAAACCCUCAAGAGCCUGCCAACGUCUACCAUCUGUCUUUUUUUCUCUUUCUCUUUAAACAAUUGCAAAGUUUAAUAAAGUAUGUGAAAAGGUUUCAUUUAUGGAAAAAGAAGGUCUCAAAAUUCAAUUCUAUAUCAUCUUAUUGGAAUAUAUUCUCUGAGAUAAAAAGAAAUUCCACACACAUUCCACCAAUUUUUUAUUGUAUAUAAAAACUUAUAAUGAAAAUAUUUUCAACUUUUUUUUUUAGUUCUGAACAAAAAUAAUUUCAAAUAUUUUCUUCAAACUGACUUUUUCUAAGAAAUGUGAUGUCCACCCAUUCAACUAAGUUGGCUCACAUUAUUCUCAAAAUUAUAUAAAAAACAAAUCUAUAUGGUCUAGAUGCUAUUAAUAACUAUUGAAAAACAAGACAAUUUUGACAAAUUCUCAUAAUACUAUUAGAAAACAUUAUAAUAUAGUUAUUAAUUAUAUAUUUGUCUACUCUUUUCAAUAUCGCAUUAAUCUUCCAUGAUAAGGAAAAAGAAAGAUUAGCACAUUGUUCUUCGUUUGUUUACCAAACAAAAAAAAACACACAGUUCACCAAUACCAGUUUAAAGUACAUUAAUCAAACAUUGCUUCGAGAAACCAAAGAAAAAACAAUUUUUAUUACCUCUUCUGUCGACGUUAUUUGUUUUUUAAAGAAGCUCUUUUCUAUAAAGGAAAAACAUUAGCCGUUACACGAACCCCAUGUGCUCACCAAAUAAAAUGGUCCCUUCUUUACUCCCAACCAAAUACAAAUACAAAUACAAAUACAAGUCUGCGCAUCUUGGCCGUUUCCUUCACGGAACCGCGUUUUUCCGUCACUGUUAAAAAAAAAUUGACAGCUCAUCAAACAUUCUCCACGCGCCGUGACUAACAAACAAAAACCUCUACCAAGACCGUUGCGUCUUUUUUAGUCCAGAAAGUUAGAUGCACGCGCCAAGUGUGAGCGUUCGAGACAAAAAUAUCCUCGCGAACGGCGCCGUAACGGAAGAAAGAUGACCUGUCGAAAUCUCAGUGAUUGCGUGGGAGCAAUAUCAACCGUCGAUUAUUCAUACUCCAGCUGGAAAAAUCAGGGCAGCUAAACCAACUAAACCGGGCAGCUCCACCUCUUUAUAAACUCGUCACCACAUUUCAUUUUAGAAAACCAAAUAUUCAAAGAACCCUAGCCUCCUCUCUCUUCUUCAUUCACAUACACACACAUCUCUCUCUUUCUCACUCUCAACUUUAAAACUCUUUUGAAAUGGCGUUCUCCAAGGCUUCAAUCGUUGCUCUCGUGUUGGUCAUCAUCUCCGUCGUGGCUACGGCUCAGUCUGAAGCCCCAGCACCAAGUCCUACUUCCGGAUCUAGCGCGAUCUCAGCUUCGUUCGUCUCAGCUGGAGUAGCAGCAGUGGCGGCUCUUGUCUUCGGCUCUGCUCUUCGGAUCUAAGCUUUACUGUGAUGGUGGUUUCGUACAGAGAUUGUUUUUGCAGUUUAUGAUUAUUAUUAAUAUAUCUUGGGGAGUAUAGGCCAUUCAUCAUUAUUCGUCUCUCGUGUGUAUUCCGAAGCCUAUAGAUCUCAUUUCUUACUUGGCUCUCUUUUCUAUCUUCUUCUUCUAUAUUAUAAUCUUCAUAUAUGUAUUGAGGAUGAUAUUAUCUCUGGGUAUUGUGGUGGUUUUAGAGUUGUGGGAUUAUGGCCCUUUUUGAUAUGAUAUAUUGAAUCUAUUCUAUUUAUUUAUAUAUUUAUGGAUUUCCCUUCUUAAAUCUCUCUCUCUCUCUCUCUCUCUUCUCGUGUUUCACAGAUUAAUAUGAGAAUAUGCUUACACAGAGUAGUUGAGAAUUUUAUAAAUCGGAAUAUAUUCCAACGCGUUACAAAUCGAAUCAUUCCAAAACCCAAGUAAAAUGCUGUAACUCAAAAGCUAACUUUUAUGAUCUAAUUGAGAAUCAAAAAUUGUAUUCUGGUGGAAAUGGAACUGAUUCUAAACAAAGCUCG